CCUUUGAAAUGGUUUCAUGAUGAACUGUUAUAUUUUUCUCAAAAUCCUCUAACAUGAGAUCAAUAUAGUGUGAUGCACACGGUGUCCUAUAGAGCCUCUUCCUUGUAAACAUUAACAUUGUAGCAACAAAUUGGUAAUUUGUUGCAUUGUCGGUCACAAUUUGCACAACAUUUUUUAUCUAACUUCUUCUACUACUUGAUCAAUUAUUUGAUAUAUUUUAUCGGCAAUUUUAAUUAAUGAGAAUCAUCUAUUGACUUUAAAAAAACAGUAUCUUUCGGGCUGUUAACUAAGAAAUUCAAAAGUAUCAUUCGUCUUUUGUCCAUUCACCAAUCACUCAUAAUAGUACAACUUGUCUUCUUUCAAGUAAGUUUGUGUUCUUCAAUGACCUUAGUUGUCUCCUCCACCUUUUGCUUCAAGUACUUUGUUCUGAUUUGAUGUAGGAAGGUGGCUUAAAACCAAUGUCGUGUCUUGAAACCAUCUCCAACAUCCUUUUAAAUUCAUCGCUCUUUGUCACAUUAAAGGCUAUAACAUUAUUGUAGAAGAACGAAGCUAUUUCUAGACACAUUUUGUCCUUCAAAUUCUUCUUAAAAAUGUUGUUGAUGAUGGCUUGAGUACUUACUAUAUUUCUCUUGAAUUUUUUUGCAGGGGUAUCAUUCUGAUCAUCCUCUAAUGAUCUUUUUUCCUUAUACUUUUUCAUUAUUUGUAUCAUUCUCUUAUGUGUUAUUCAAUGAUGUAUCUUUCAAGGAUUUUAUAAAUUCCAACAUGUGUUUCUUCACAUCAUCAGGUACAACAUCACAUGCAAUAAUUUUGAGCUAUGUACUAGCCAAACGGUGUUUCAGUCUAUACAUUCCUCCAAUAAGUAUUUUUCCACAAUAAUUGCAUUUUAUUUUUUUGGUUCCUCCAUCAACAGAUACACCAUGUUUUCCUACUAUAUCAAUUCUGCUUCCUAAUGCAUUUUUCUGCACUCUGGGAGGUGCAGAACUAGAACUGCAGGCAACAUGAACAAAUGUAGACAUGAGUGAAAUCGUGAGGCAGCAAGAGAAAUUGCAUAUUACAGUGAAGAGGAUUGAGGAUAGUUUCAGAUAUGAGAUUGAAAAGAGUUGUAGAUGAGAAGAACUUAUAGAAGAAAUAGAAUGAGGGAAUCUGAAAUUGAAUCAUUUAAUUGAAGUAUUAGAAAUUGAAGGAGAGACUUAAAACCAAGACUUGGAAAACGAGCAGAGGCUGUAAAGCAGAAAACGAAUAGGAAUAGAGGCUUUGAGGAAUACGAAAUGAGCAGAAAAUAAACAUAAUACGAAAUGAAUAAUUGCUGGUUGCUGCUGCCUUCAAAUCCUCGUGCUCUUUUCUUUAUGGGAAACAAGCACAAUACGAAGGCGAAGAGGUGCAAAAUGGGCCAGAGCAUGGAUUUUUUCAACCGAGUCAAAACGAUGUAAACGGGUCAGAGCUUCGCGAAAUGACGCCUCUCAUACGCGACGAGGCUCGCCGCUCCCACGCUUCCACUGCGCGCCCACAUAUCUCGGUCAUAUGACGCUCUUUCCUUUGCUCUAACACUACUUAUGUUGUAAAACGCGUAAGAUCUAAGGAUCUUACGCUUUAGAGCUCGCUCCUAAGAACAAUGGUCAAAACUAAAUUUAGAGAAUUGGAAAUACUACAUAAAACCUAAGAAUUUCAAAAAUUCUCUUUACUUUAUAGUAAAUAAAUCAUGAAAUGGUUAGUAUACUUUUUACAAGUUAACAAUUUUGACCCUGCAUGUUUCAAAAUUUACAUAUUAGUUUUUAUAUAUUUUUAUUUUUUUGUAAAUUGGUCCCCAAAAAUUAGAAAAUAGUCCCUCAACUUUUACUGAAUUUUAGUUUUGUUCAAAUAUAAUUUUUAUUUUUGUCUUAAAACUUUUGAAAUUUAUAAAAAUAAACUAAUUUUUAAAGAAUAAUUAUUUUAUUCAAAUAACAAAAUUUAGAAAUAAAAGAAAUGAAAUUGAAAUAUUUGAAUUGUCUCAAAUUUUAAUUUUCUUAAAAUUUUCAACCACUCCAUUCAAACACACUCGAAUUUAGGACAUUUGUUAGUAUAUUAAAGAUAUCAUUUCUCUAACUUUAAAAUUGUUCAAUUCAUUUUUUUUAAAUAUAAUUACUAUUUGUUUCUUUUAAAAUAUAUGUUAGCAUGACUCUUAACCACCAACUAUACCUUAAAUGGCGACUUUAAUUCUAGAUAGAUUGAUAAACAUAUCAUAUCAAUUUACAUCUACAUAGUUGACAAUUGAGUUUACUAAUCGUCCCUCUCAGCUUUAAAUUUUUUUUAAUAAUAAAAAAAUUUAGAUAAUUAAGUACUAAUGACUCACCAAAUAGACGGCACCAUUGAUUCAAUGUAGGAUCUCAAAAACCACCAAAGUGAGAAGCUAGUAGCAGAAUUGUGACAUAGUUCAAUAGUGGAAAUGGUGGCAUGGUAUUUGCAAACACUCCUAACACAAAUCGGUGUUUGAGUGAUGUGUGUGAGAGGAUCAUCCCUUUAUAUAUGCGAGGUCAUCAAGUCUCCUUUUGUGGGAAUAAUUAAUGCUUUCAAUUCUCAAAGGUAUGUGUGAAGCGCACUUGGUUGACCACUCUUAAAUUAAUCAAGCGACGAUAAUCACUACCUUUAAGAGUUUUAUGAAAUGAAUUGGAUUUUUUUGGUAAAAACUAUUUAAACAUGUCUUUGUCGAGUUCGAAUUCAAAAUAUAAUAAAGACAAUUAAUAACACACAAGAGUACGCUGUAUGUGUAUGUAGGAAUAUGUCAAAUAAUGUUUAGAGUCAACAAAAAAGAAUUGAGAAAAUGAUGUGCAUGUGCCCAAUUUGUUAAUUACUAGUUGAUAAAAAAUUCCCAUGUUAUACUUGUCCUCAAACCUCGCAACUGGGAUCUACAAUUUUUAAGUUGAAUUCAAUGAAUUAUGUAUGCAAAACCAUAAUUUUAGUCUUUGAAAUUGUAUAAAAUUAUCACUUUAAUCUUUGACUUAAUCAAAAAUUAUCAAAUCAUUAUUGGUUUUGCGUGUCUCUCCUUUGGGCUGACUCUACAUACAUAAUCGGUAAACUAUCAUUUUAGUUUAUAAAAGUGUGGGGAUUUGUCAUUUUGAUUUCUAACUCGGUCAAAAAUUCAAAUAAUUAGUCCUCAAAUCAUCAAAAUGCUAGUCAGCUUAGCCUUUCAUCUAACAGUAAUUGACUAUUUUGAUAGUAAGUUAUUACUUUAGGCCUUACAAAAAAUAUUUUAUUUUUGUUUUAAUUUUAAUUUUUAUACGGUGGUCCAAAACUAUAUUAUAAAAACUCUUUAACGAAACAAAAAAUGACUCUAAAAAACUUUUAAUUUCCAAUUUUUAGCAUAAUUAUUAUUUGAAUUGAUAGAUAUAUUGAUUGUACUACUAGGGUUUUCGAGUCAUUCUCACAAGAGGGUGUUUACAACGUUGUACUCUUAGAAAUUAUUUCUCAACAGUUAUACAAAGCAAAAAAUUAAGAACAAGAGUACUGAGACGACUGUAUUUUAUUGUGUAUUGUUGUAAAUGCAAGAAAUCAACAUAUAUCAUAAAGUUUCAAAUCAAAAUAUGCAGAGAUUGAUUCACCAUUAAAGCUUGUCUAAAAAUAAGCAUGUAAUUGAUUAUCCGUAUCUUGAUAGGGUGACAUAAAGAGAAGAGGAUAUCAUGAUCAGUGUAUGUCACAUAGAACUUUAGACAAAUGACACAUUCAAAGUGUUGAACACUGUAUGCACAAAUUUAUUUUCUUCAGAGUGUUGACUUUUUUAGCAUUGACUUUUUAGCGUUGACUUUUUCAGAGCGUGUUCACCAGGCUAGGAAUACAUAAGUUAGAGCAAAGUCUUGGUGUUCCUUCAACUUGGAUCAAACAUUAGAGAAUGCAUUACAAAGUUAUAUAAAAUCCCUGAUCAGGGAACUGCACACUUAAAACAAGUAAGGGUCAAAGUUCUUCAAACCAACUUUGUUCUAACAAUCUCCCCCUUUUUGACGAUGACAAUGUCUUUUAUUGUGAACAAUUUUUUAUUUUUAAAGUAGUAAAAAAAGAAGAAUAACAUAGAAUAUCACAACAAGACUCCUCCUUAAUAUAUGCAUAUUUAAAUGUAAGAGGAUGAAAUAUAUUUUGACAAGAUAGAUGAAAAACGUUAUUAAUUGAAAUUAAAAAAACUUAAGAUUUUCAUUAAACAUUUUCAUUAAAAUUGUUCAAGAUAUUCUCCUCAUUUUGCCAUUGGACAAAAAGAGUAGAGUAGCCAACAAGUAGUGAAGCAAAAGAAAAUACAACAGAGGAAAAAAAUCACAUGCACACAAAGAAACAAAAAUUCAAGGAACUACAAAUUUGAGUUGGUCAUCCUAGCUAAAAUUAAAUUUAGGGUAGUUUGAUUAUUCUUUGGAUUAUUGGCUGUAUAUUCCAUGAAUACCUCAAUCUUAGGUUCCAGAUGAUCAAAGUCUUCGUUCUAGACAAAUUGGGAAGGAUCAAACACGGGUAGAGGGUGUGACAUAUUUACUUUUAGAGGUAGAUUUUGUAGAACCUAAAGCAGUUGCAACAGAAACAUCCAACAAAUUGAAAUGGUGCUAAGGGAGCAAUCAUUUGGGGUUCCAUAUGAAUACCACUAGAGGGAGAUAAGUUUUUCCUUGCCUAGUAGCUUUCUGGACCAAUUGCUUUGGGUUUCUAGAACUACAAGAUCCAUAAGUAGAGGAUCUCAAUUGUUUGUUUGGAAGCAACAUAAUUCUUUGAUGCAAACUGCAUUCCAUGAUCCAUGUUGUUCCUUAUCCAGUUAGUGAAAAAAGAUUGCAUGCUGAAGUGAUUUUGACAAUGAUAGAAGUAAUGAAAGAGUCAAGGUUUAGAAAGCCAGAUGAAAUGAAGUGUGUGAAAGGAAUGAGGUCUAAAGGGGUGAUGAAGGUGGCAUGUUCGAAUGAAAAAGAAGGUGAAGGAGAAGCAAAUGAGUCUUUUGAAGAUGUAUUAGAGACUAAGUAAAUGAUCAUUUGAGCUGCUUGGUUAAGGGAUUCACAAGUUUAGAGGAGGAAGGGUCAGAGGCAGAUUUGGAGAGGCUAUGUGUUUGUGAAAUGGUAGAGUUGGUAGCUGAUAGUGUUUAUGGAGUUUUGGUCUUGAGAGGGAGAUAAUUUGUUUUAUAUUUGAGAGGAUGUUUUCGAGUGUUUAUCCUCCUACUUCCUCUACAACUUGAAUGAGGGAAAUCCUUAAUAGUACAAUAGUGAUGAGUUUAGGAUAGGGGAUAGUUCUGAUCUUUCUUGACCUAGAGUUUGCGACACAUAACCUCAUGUGUUACAAAAUUAGGUUUGGAAGAUUGGUCUUGAUCCUCUGGGAGAUAUUCCGCAUUAGACCCAUGUGGUCUUUGCUAAUGUGGCCCACAAACCCACCUUUGGGUACUACACACCCAAUCAAAAUCUUGAAAAGAACUUCGUAUCUAGGUUUCAAGUGAACUUAUUUGGAGUUGACCUUAGGAUGUUCUAACAAUUCCUUAUUGAUCUUGAAUGAACCAACCUUUGACUCAUAACCAUUAUCUAGCAACAUACCUUCAUUAGGACAUCUAGUAAUAAUCGCUAGGGAUUGUUGGGUAAUCUUAACGCAAAACCCUAGUACGUUACUAGAUACUUCUUCAUGUCCAAUGUUCUUUAACUAGAACAUCCAAAGACACUUCUUGUUCUAGGUUAAAUUACUUAGACCACCCCACACCAGCAAAGUCUUCAAUAAAAUCAAAAUCAUUUUCAUCAAUGUUCUAGAAAUUUACUUGGAGUUCAUAGAGAAUUUCUAACUGAUCAAGAUUGCAUUGCAUGGUAGGCACAUAAGAGACAUUGCUAAGAGAACGGUUGGAGGAUGAACUUGAAGCCAUUUGAAGCCGAAGAGAUUCAAAUGGUUUUUUUUGGAAAGUUUCAAGGUUUGAAAGAGGGCAAGAGCAAAAAGUGUGGGAAUAUGUGAGGGGCGUGAGUGAUCAUGAGUGGUGAGUGAGCUUUAUCAAAACGUUUUGAGUUUCUAAAAUUAACUAACGUGCACGUGUAAACAUGCGUAAACAACACUCAUCAGAGUAUCAUAGACUAUGCACAACUUAUAAGAAAUUUUUUCAUAUUAAGUUAAUUGGAUUUAGAUUGACAAGAGGCACAUGUAAAUUCAACUUCAUUAGAGGCAAAGCAUAUAUACAUUUAAUCAUUUACUCUAUUUUACCAAGUGAAACAACGCGGAGACUUUAACAUCAUUCUUUUAGAAACAUAAUGUUUACAUUUUUCUUUUUAAAAUUGAAUAUGUCAUCAACAAGGGGUUUUGUGAAAAUGUCAAAUCAGUGAUGCCUAAUCUUUAUAUGUUUUUCCAUUAAGUGUAAAAUAGGAUUUUUGGUUAAACAUAUAGUUGAAGUAUUAUCACAAAAGACAAGAAUAUUACUCUCAUUGAUUUUGAAGUCACUUAGUUGAUACUUCAUCCACAACAACUGAGUGCUACAACCUGUUGCUGAGAUAUAUUCUGCUUCUACUGUUGACAUAGCAAUAGUUCUUUAUCUUUUGCUUUACUAAGAGAUUAGUUUUUCACCAAGAAAUGUACAGUUUCUAGUGGUGUUUUUUUUUCUAGCUUAUCUCCAACAAAGUCAGCAUCACAGAAACCUACUAACCUCUACUUAGAGGAUGACUUAUAACACAGACCAAGAUUAGUAGUACCUUUCAGAUAUCUAAAGAUCAUCUUAACAAAUUUUAAGUGAGAUUCUUUAGGGUCAAACUGAAAUUUGGCACACAAGCACGCACUACAUAAUAUAAGGUCUAGCGGUAGUUAUCUAGAGGAGAUAACCAAUCAUUCCUAUGUAUACCUUCUGAUCUACCUUUUUAGUUGAAUCAUCCUUAUCAUGACAACAUGUCGGAUGCAUAUGUAUAGACAUAGGCUUACAUUCAUCCAUUUAAAAUUUCUUAAGUAGUUCUCUUGUGUAUUUGGUUUGAUGAAUGAAUACACCAUCUGGGCUUUCAUGAAUUUGGAUUCCAAGAAAUAAUUUUAAUUCUCCCAUCAAGCUCAUCUCAAAUUCAUGUUGGAUUAACUUAGAAAACAUUUGGCAGAGCUUGCCGUAAGUAGAACCAAAAAUGAUAUCAUCAUAAAUUUGAACAAUAAAAAGGUCAUUCUUAGAUUAUUUCCUAAAUAAAGUAGUGUCAACAUGACCUUUUUCAAAAUCAUUGUUUAAUAAGAAAUUUCUUAGUCUAUCAUACAAAGCUCUUGGUGCCUAUUUCAGACCAUACCGAGAUUUAUUUAAUUUGAAAAUAUAAUAUGGAAAUUCAUUAUCUUCAACGCCAUGAGAUUUUCUGACAUACACUUCUUCAUUUAUGUAACCAUUUAGGAAAAUAUUUUUCCACAUCCAUUUGAUAUAAAAUGGUUUUAUUAAAUACUGCAAAUGAAAAUAAAAUUCUAAUAGUCUCUAACUUUGCCACAGGGCCGAAAGCUUCAAUGCAAUCAAUACCUUUUUGUUGACUGUAUCAUUGGGCUACAAGUCUAGCCUUGUUUCUAAUAAUUUCACCUUUCUCAUUAAGUUUGUUUUUGAAAACUCACUUGGUUCCAAUUGAACUUUUCUCUUUAGGCUUGGGUACAAGAUCUCAUAUGUCAUUUCUUUUGAAUUGAUUCAACUCUUCUUGCAUAACCAUUAUCCAUCCAUCAUUUGAUAGACUUCGUCUAUAGUUGUAAGUUUAAUUUCAGAUAAUAGACCGAACAUAGGUUUUUCUUUAAAUGUUGAUUUGGUUUUUAGAGGAUCACUUGCACUUUCUAUGAUUAGAGAGUUUGGAUGUGAAGUUGUAUUUCCAUCCAGGUUUGGAUUCCUGAUGAUAUUGAAUUGUGGGAGGUUCAUCACUGCUUGUGCCUGAGUUAUCAGGCAUAUCUUUUGAUUCAUUGGAGGUUGGUUUUGUUUGUUUCUCUGAUAUCUGUAGAUCUGCAAAAUCUACAUCUAACUUUGACUUUUUAUGGUCAAGCUUUUUGUCAUUAAACUUGAAAUGAAUUGAUUCCUCAACAAUUAGUGUUUCUUUAUUGUAUAGUCUGUAGGCUUUAAACCUUUUAGAGUAUCCCAAAAAGGUGCACUUUUGAGAUCAUGACUCAAAUUUGCCAAGAUUCUAUUUAUUAUUCAAAAUAUAGCAUAUGCAACCAAAUUGAUGAAAGUAUGAAAUGUUGGGAUUUAUUCUUUUCCAUAGUUCAUAAGGAGUCUUAUUAAGAAUACGUCUGAUACAAAUUCUAUUAUGAAUAUAACAUGCAAUGUUCACUGUUUUUGCCCAAAAGUAUUUGGCAACAUACAUUUCAUGAAUCAUGUUACCAUUUUCCAAAGAGAUCUAUUUUUUUCUAUCUGUAACACCGAUUGGUUGAGGUGUUCUAAUAAAUGAAAGCUAUUUUCAAAUUCACCCCCAUAUGAUCACUAAGAAUUGUUGCAAUAUAAAAAUCAUUUUCAUUUUGCACUUGUUUGUAGAAGAUAGUGAAAUAUUUAUGUGACUCAUCCUUGUGUUUAAAGAACUUUAUCCAUGUCCAUCUAAAAUAAUCAUCAACAAUAAUGAGUACAUACUAUUUAGCACUAACAGAGGUAGUAUUUAUAGAGCCAAAUAAAUCAAGAUGUAAAAGUUCAAGUGGUCUAAAAGUGAAAGAAAAAAAAAACAUUUUUAGAGGAAAAUUUUGAUUUUGUUUGUUUCUGUAAGACCCGUAAUUUAUUUAUAACAAGAAUUAGGGAUUAUUGUAUAAAGAAUUAGGGCUUACUGUCUAAUUAUUCCUUCUAUUGUUUAUUAAGUUGUUUGUUUAUCGUUUUUAUUGUCUGUGGCAAUUUGUACUUAAGAGAUUUCUUGCAGAACAAGGUAGGUUGGUUGUGCCUUUUAGGUAUCUAAGGAUUCUCUUAACAACAAUUAAAUGUGAUUACCUAGAGUCAACUUGCUACUAGACGGUUCGUCCUGCUGUGGGCUUCCGCCAGAGUGCGGCUCAAACAACAUCUACUCAUGAGAUGCAAAUUCCUUUAUGAGCCAUGUUCAUUACCACCUAAACCCGGGGGGAGCAAUCCAUGACUCAUAUAUUAGGGACUUUCCAAGCUAGCCAAGCUCAGUCCACGAGCUUGCCCAGUCAGUUUGAGAGCUGGACAAGAUUGUCAAGAACAUUUCGAGCCUAUCAUAGCCACAAAAGAUGACUAAGACAUGUGUUGUCCAAGAAAGUCACGCCCUUUCCAAGAGUUGGCUUAUUUUGUCCGAGUGUUACUGAGAUUUGGACGAGUCUGCUAGUGUCUACCUUAGUCAUGGACUACGAGGUCCUCCCCCCAUAUGUGCUUGUUAUGCUUUUGCCAAUUUUGUAGAAAAAGAGCCCCUUUUCGCUAUCGGUGGAAAACGCAAUUAGAGGGACCUAGAGUUUGAAUCUGUUUAUGAUUGUUUGCAUCAAUGCUUAUUAACAUUGUAACAAGCUUCACAAAAAAAUUGGAAUAUUUUGGAAAGCAAUGGAUUUUUUAAUAACUUUUAAGGGGUAAAAGUUUGAGAUUAGUGACCUAGAAUUCAAGUUUUUUCAUGAUUAUUUACAUGCACAUUUUGUAUAAUUAAAUAACACUUCCCACUAAAAUUUGAAAUUUUUUAACAAGAGAUGAGUUAAUUAGGAUUUUUUUAAGGGAAAAAAUAUACAAAAAAAUCUAAUUGAUACAAUCAAAUACUUCAGUCUAGUUUAAUAUAGGAUUCAAAAUCCAAUUGAAUAUAUUUGGUUUUAAUUAUAUUAAUAUGCUACGAGCCUAAUGUUUAGCCUCACCCUUUAUUCCUUAUUCAAUAAACCUAGUCUCUAAUUCAUAAUGUUUUAUAAAAUAUCAUUUGUUCUUUUUUAUAAGUAUUUGUGUGUGUAAUAUUAAGACUUAUUCAACCCAAUCCCCUUUCCCAAAUAACUCUUAGAACUAAUCAAACUAUUCAUACAAAAUAAAAGUUCAUCCAAAGUCAUCAGAAUAACAUCUCUGUUGUCAUUUUGUAUGAGCAAAUUUAAAUUUAUCUUUUGAAAAAUAUAAAAAAUAUAUUGUGUUGAUGAGGCAAAUAGGGGCAAAAGCAGCAGCGAUAGGAGAAGGAGUUUGUCAUUUUGCUUCUAACAUAUUUGGUAAACAUGCAUGUCUCGCACGCAUCUAAAAAGUAUGAAUAUGUGGUUAACAUUGAUAAAUAAAUUGUAAUAAUGCAAAUACAAUUACUUGAUAAAUUCUUUUCAUUUUCAUCAUUUGUUGGUGUCAUGUCUUAAAGCAACAGAAUUGUGGAAAAAAAUAUAGCAUGUGAAAGUUGCUUAUAUAAGAAAACAAGUGGGUUCAAAGACAUUAAUUUGAAAAAAAUGAGAAAUGAAAGAGUUCAACAAAGACAUGAAUUUGAAGAAAUGAGAAAUGAAAGAGAUCAACUUUGAGAGGAAUUGACUAAUACAAAUAUAGCAGUUGAGCACAACCUAUUGAUAAAACAAUUGAUGAAUAACUUGAACUUUAAGCUAAAUUCAUAUACUAGAGACCAAGUUCUUGAUGAUGAGAUUGAUGAUAAUCAUGUUGGUAAUCAUGAUAAUGAAGAAUUAGAUGGACAGUGACAAGUUAAUCUGAAGAAAAAAAUGUGUUGCAUUUUGUUUCGACUAAAUUAUAUUAUGUUUAGAUUAAAAUUUUAGUACUUCGAAAUACAACUUAAAUAUAUUAUGUAAAUUGAUAUGUUAAUACAUUUAAAUGUUUUUGUUGUCAUGUAAAAAAAAGUUUUUGUGUAUGAUUCUUUUUAGAUAUUGAUAUCAGAUUUAAAAAUGUAUUUUUAUUGUUCGUCAGGACCAUUAUUACAAUAUCUUAAAAAAAUGGCAAAUUUUUGUCCAUUAAUACAAUAGAUUCAAUUACAAAAUGUGUCUCAAAAUCAAUCACCAAUAGUAUAGAAAAUCAAUUCAAAAUGGUCGCUAAAUUGGUCUAAAAUUUUAGUCUCUAAAUCAAUGUCCAAAGUCACUCACUAAAUUUCAGUCGUUGAUUCUGUCGUCAACAAUUAACGACUAAGAAUUUAUCAACUAGAUUUAAAUGGUCUCUAAUUCAAUUGCUAAAAGAAACAUCGGCUGAAUUUUAAAACAUAGUGAUCGAAAAGACAAUCACUAAAGACAAAAUUUGUAGUAAUGAAAGACGUGAGAGAGACGUGAGAGAUAGAUAAAAAAAUAAAAUAAGUUAAUUGAAAGUAAAAAAUGAGGAGUAUGUAUGUACUGUGUAUGUACAAUGUAUAAUGAAACAGUAUUUAUGUUACAUUUGUGUGAAAAACUAUGCUCAAUAUAUCAUUUCUAAUCCAUUAAUAACAUAUAGACCCACCUUGUAUCCUUAGAAAGUGUACAAACAAUGUCCUACACAACAACAUAUGCAGCUAGUACUCAUAAAUGUUCUCUGUCAUACAAAGAAAAAGGAGAAAAAGAAAGGAAUCCAUCACUGAUGUCUAUAGCAUUUCUAUCAUUCCUGUCAGAUAGAUAUUCAAAUUUCUUAAUAAAUGUGGUCCCAAAAAGGUUGACAAUUAUGUUACAAAUCCAUCGAUAACUUGCAAAUGAUAAAAUCUAAAGUUGAUUAAAAACAUACUAAAUGAAAAGUUAUUCUAUAUCAAAGAAUAAAUUCAUAUUUUAUUAUCAUUAAUUACUUCAAAACUUUCGGUUAAAAUAGUUAAGUUAUUUUUUUAAUUUGAUUUUAUCUAAAAGUUACUUAAAUUAAAAUCAUUUACUUUUAAAUAUUUAUUGUAAAAAAAAAAUAUUUAUGAUGUAACUAUACCUUGGAUUUUGUGUCAUUCAAUAGUAAAACUAAAAAUACACUUAAUUCAGAAUUUAUCCACUUUUACAAACAUGUAACUUAAAAUAUGACCUUACUAACAUGUACACUUUGAAAAUUAAAAAAAUUUAUUGCGAAUAUUCUUAGCAAGUUUAAAUCCCCUCAAAUACUUGAAUUUAUUUAUGAGAAAAAAAAUUAUUUAAUAAUUAAAAUAUUAAAUACACAUCUUUUCUUUAUUCUCUAAUCACAAGUCACUCUUGGUGUGUUAACAAAUGAAUGGAGAGAGAAUGGUAGAUUAUUAGAGACAAGGGGGAAAAGGCAUGUUUUUUUUCCAUAUUCACGCGUGCAUUCUUUUUGAGAUUUCAAAACACAACAGCACUUUUUUGCUGCCAAUUACUGUUAAAAAGAGACCUUUCAAUAGAGUUUAGUAACCAACAACAACAAUAACAACACUUUCUUCAACACAACACUCUUCUUCAUUCAUUAAUUUCUCCAAACAAGACACUUCUUCUAAGCUAAACAAGCAAUGUCCGUAAGUAAUUAUUACACCCUCUAUUUUCUUUCUUAGUUAUUACACAUAAAUAAAUUAAAUUGUGACUAAUGUUGGUGUGUAAUGUGCAAUGUUGUAGAAUAUGGUUGAAGUUAGAGUUCCAAAUCUUGAUUGUGAAGGGUGUGCUUCAAAAUUAAAGAAAGCUCUCUUCAAGCUCAAAGGUACAUUUUGCAUAAACAAUUUUUUUUUUAUCCUUAAAUUUAUUUUUUCUUUUAUCAUAUUAAUAAUAUUGACGAAAAUUCAACCAUAGUUGAAAAUAUGAUAAGAGUAUACAAUUUGUUGUUUUAGUUAAUAUUGUCAAAACAAAGAAAAAAUUAUUAUUUUUAAAAAUGGGAACAGUGAAUUAAUUAUCACUCACUCUUAAUAAACAUGCACAAAAACAAUAUGAAAUUACUUACUCCAUAUAUUGAAUGAAGUCAAAUAAUAGUGAAAUGUUACAUUUGAAUUAUGUCAUGACUCUAAAGAAAAUUAUUAGUUGAGUUGAAUCAAUAUAAAAUUAGUAUCAUGUCUAAAAUCUUUAUUAUUUGUAGGUUCUACAGUAUUUAAGUGAAAUGAAAUUCAAUAAAUAAAAGUAUAUUAAUGAAAAUAAUAAUAAUAAAUGUUGCAAUAGUAUUUUAAAGUGACAAUUAUUUUGAAACACCAAAAAAGUAUAAAUAUGAUAUUUAAUAUGAGUACUAUAAAGAAUUUUUAAGUCUUUAAUUUAAUCUACUAUUUAUCUCUAAAAGUUAUAGAAUUACAAUACGAAUUCAGACGCUGAAUAAGUAUUUUGAUUCUGAUGACUAACAAAUUUUCCUUCGUCUUAACAAAUUAACCACCAUUGAUAUAUAUAUAUAUAAAUUUUUUUAUUUCUUGUGUCAUUUGUAAUCUUAAAUUGUUGUAUUAAUAAAAAUAAAAAUAAUAUUUUAUUUUGUGAUUUAUAGGAGUAGAAGAUGUAGAGAUUGAAAUGGAGGCACAAAAGAUAACAAUAAGAGGGUAUGGAUUAGAAGAAAAGAAAAUAUUGAAAACAAUCAAACGUGCAGGGAAAGCAGCUGAACCAUGGCCAUUUCCAGGACAUGCACAUUUUUCUUCAUUUUAUAAGUAUCCAAGUUACAUUGUUAAUCAAUAUUACUAUGAUGCAUAUAAAAGUGAAGCAACAAAUGGUGUUCAUACUUUUUUCCACACUCCUUCUAUUUAUUCAGUUGCUGUUGCAUCUGAUGAGGCUUUUGCUUCAAUUUUUAGUGAUGAUAAUCCUCAUGCUUGCUCUAUAAUGUAAGCUAGGUUCAUGUUCAUUUUGUUUAAUUUAUUUUUUCUUUGAAAAUUGAGUGAGGUAUCUUUUUGCACUUUCAAGGAAUCAUCAAGUAUUUUGUGUUUUUUUAUUUGUUAAUUUGUUUUUAUUUUUUGCAUUAUUUUCUUGAAUGAGUUAUGGUCAUAUAUCACUUAACUAUUUGUUCAAAAUAACUUAAGAUAUAUGCUUUGGAUUGAAGGGUUUCACACAAUAUAGCUUUGUUAUUAUUUGGAUAUAAAAAAAUAUUUAUAUAUUAUUAUUAUUUAUAUUUUGAUUAUUAAAUUAAGGGUCUCAACUUCUUCUCUUAAAUUAAAAUAACUUUGUCAAAAACAAAUUAUCCAAAUUUUUUAUUAAUAUUGAAUUUUUAAAGCUACCAUUCAAAAUUGUAAUGUAUUAAUAGAAAAAAAGCAACGGUUCAAAAUUGUUCCUAAAACUAUCUAAGGGAACAUUUUUCAAUUAUUUCAAAAAAAAAAUGACAUAUUAACAAUCUAAAAUUGUUCUCAAUUUUAUUCUAGAAAUAUUUAAUUUAUGUCACUUGACAAUUUAACAAACUCUAUAGUUGCCACAAAGUAAUUCUUUAGACAUUUCUUUCCUUGUACAAAUCUCGUUGUCCCUAUGUGGGGCAACUCUAUUUGGAGAUUUAUAUGUUAUUGUCUAUAUUAAUACUCAUUUUACAAAAUAGAACUUAUAAGUGUGAGGUAAGAUAAUUGAAACUUAAAAUUAAAAUAAGAUGAAAUUUAUCUUGGAUUGAACGAAUGAGCCAUGUAAUGUGUAAUGGUAACUAUUCUUAAGAUUGAUUUAAUAUUUUGAUAGAUGUAAAAAUUAUGUUUGUUUAGUUAGAUAAUUCAAUGUGUCUUUAUUGAUUCUCUAAUUUUCAAUAUCCACAAAUGCUUUUGAAUCAUGAAAAAUUCAUUUAGUCAUUCAUAAGAUUAGUUGGAUUGCAUGAUACAAGAUCAUGUUGGUACACUUUUAAAUGCAUAAAAAACCUUUUCAAAAUGAAUUUUAAUUUUGUAAAUUAACUCUCAAGCUUGUAAAUUGAUUUACAAAGGUCCUAAACUCAUUAAUUUCAAGUGUUUCAUGUAAGAAAUUUACUGACACAUUUUUACUCUUCUGAUAUAAAAACAGAAAUGUUAAUCACCAAAUGCGAAAUAAAUGUGGCCCAUAAAAGAAUUACCUUUAGCCAUUGUUGCAAAAAGAAAGAACUUCAAGUUUCUAUGUUAUUGAUUCUUUUAAGCUUUCACUCUUUUACUAUAGGUUGUGUAUAUAGAAACAUUGGAUGAGAAGCUUAUGAACUAAUGACCUAUUUAUAGACAUUCUACCAUAAAAAUUGCAUUGCAUAUCCAUUGACAAAUACAUUGAAUGUGAUAAAACAUCAACAUAUUAGAGUUUUAUGUAUAGAUACAAUCAUAAAGUAGAACCAAGUCACAUUUUCUCCAUAUGAUCCUGAAUUUUAUUGGUGGCAUGCAUUUUGUCAAGGUAUCGACGAUAAUCAAAUCAGUGCUAAUGUGUUGAAUGGCCACUAGUUUAUCUUUAACUUUUUCUCUAAUGGCUAAGUACUUGAUGUUGAUAUGUUUACUUCGACUUCCAAUUUUGUUGGUCUUAACCAUAAAUACAUCAGUUGAAUUAUCGCAAAAACUUUUCAAAGGACUGAAAAUAGAAUCUACGAUCUUAAGCCUUGAAAUAAAACUCAUAAACCAUACUCCAUGGGGUAGCCUCAAAACAAGAGACAAACUCAACUUCCAUAGUAGAAGUGGAAACCAAGGUUUUCUUAGCUCUUCUCUAUGAAAUAGCUCGUCCGAUCAUCAUAAAAUGUAUCUUGAUGUGGAUUUGCAAUAACCAACACAACCAUCAUAUGUUUUAAGUACACAAUUCCUAGAUCAGGGAUUUUAUAUGACUUGCAUUUCAUCCUCUUAUGUUUGAUCCAAAUUAAAGGAACCCCAAAACUUUGCACUAAAACGCGCAUCUGGUGACUUUAUCUAAUACAAGAAAUGUAUUGAUUGGAUUGUCUUUGAUGCAUACAGCCAACAUAUGUUUACUUUUGCCUUUGAUUCAUACAACCAACAUAGGUUUACUUUUUCCUCUGAUUAUCUAUCUGAUAAUUUUGUCUGGCAUUUGAUUGUCUGCCUCCAUUGAAAAAGUCAAAGUUCUGAUAAUAAGUCACCACUCAAGAUAGUCAACGCUCUGAUGCAAGCAAUCUCAAUGAAAUGAAAAUCUCUGACAAAGCCAAUGCUCCAAAAAGUUAAUGCUCUGGAGAAAACAAAUUUGUGCAUCAUCUUUGCAAAUUUGUAGAUGUCUAAUAAGAAUCACACCAAGCACAAAUGAAAGUUAAGAUCCAUAGGUUCAACGUUUAUAAAGAUAUCAGAACCAAAUUUAUAUUCAAAACAGGAGAAAAAUGCAGUAAAUGUCAGACACCAGAUGUUGUGCACCUAAAGCACAAAUCCUACGCCUAGGGCGCAUUUUUGCAUUCCUGAAUCUGCUCAGGUGGGCAUGGAGCGCAACUGCUACGCUUAGGGCAUAUGGUGUGUUACAUAAUGCAUAAAAACAGAUUUUCUCAUUUUCUAGGGAUCGUUUUGGAAAUUGAGAAGUUUGGAGACUUGUGCCCUAAUAGAGAAACUCAAAGACGGCUAUUUCUAACACCAUUAGAGGAGUUUUAUCAAGAAUCGUUCAUGAAUCUUUGUUGUAAUUCUUCAUUAAUCUCUAUCUUUUGUAUCUCUGUCAUGAGUAACUAAAUCCUUUUUGUUAGGGAUGAGUGAUACUAGAUGAAAUCCUUAUUUUUCUGAUUUGAUUUCUAGUUAUAUGAAUAAGUUUGUUGAAUUAUUCUUCUAUCUUUGUGCUUAAUGCAUUUUAUUGCUUGAUCAACUUUAAAAUGUUUUACGAUUCAUAUUUUGAAACAAAAGUUGACUUUACAAAUACUUGAGGUGAGAAAUUCAUGUUAUUGUAGUCUAGGGAUAGAUGAACGUCAUGAAACCAAUUGAAUUAGUUGUAGAGGCAAUAUUUUAAUAGAAAAAAAUUGUUGUACUGUAAAACUUAAUUCUAAUCUUAAAUUCACUAAGGAAUUAGGGGUUACUUUGGAAUUAAAGGUUCUGUCACUAAGACAUUAGGGCAAGAAUAAUAAAGNNNNNNNNNNNNNNNNNNNNNNNNNNNNNNNNNNNNNNNNNNNNNNNNNNNNNNNNNNNNNNNNNNNNNNNNNNNNNNNNNNNNNNNNNNNNNNNNNNNNNNNNNNNNNNNNNNNNNNNNNNNNNNNNNNNNNNNNNNNNNNNNNNNNNNNNNNNNNNNNNNNNNNNNNNNNNNNNNNNNNNNNNNNNNNNNNNNNNNNNNNNNNNNNNNAAUAAAGAGAACUCGAUAAUAAUCCAAUAAAGGAAUUUAGUAACUAGGAUCAAAUUAGAAACCAAGGUUGAAUUCGAAAUGAAACUCAUCCCUUGCAUUUUUCUUAUUAUAAAAGUUCAAUUACUCUUGUUAUUUUCAAAUAUAAUUUCAAUCAAUUCGAAAACUUUUUGUUCAAUUUUAGCAAUUAAACAUAAUUUGAUAGUAAAUCGCAAUCCUUGAAUUUGAUACUCGAUACUAUCAUUUUAUUAUUACGUGCAAUGAUUCAAUAUACUUGCAAAAAUGCUAUCAAAUGUUUGGCGUCGUUAUCGGAGGUUUCCAUAUCACUAUUGAGUUAUAAUUUUUUUACUUAAUUGAUAUUUUUUGCUUUGCAAUAAAUUGUUUGUCUUUAUAUAAUUUUUUUUAUUUAGUUUAAAACUUUUCAUUACUAACGAUUUUGAUAAUCUUGUGUGCGCGACCAGCCCUCAGCUAAACUUCUUUUCGAUUGAGAAAUCGAAAAAAUUGCGUAAGUAAAUCAAAAAUCGACUCGAGAAAAGAUACAAAGGGAAAGACAAUUAGUAGUGGAAGAAGAAGAUCUAGGGGAUUUCUUCAUAUUUGUAGAGAUGGUUGAUCCACCACCACCUGAACGUACCCUCGACGAGUAUGGAAAUCAAGAUAGAAACUAUGCUUGGUUGGCCAUCCAUAACCAACUAGUUACAAUCAACAAGUUUGAAAUAAGUCAAGCUCUGUAUCGAGAGUUGAAGGAGAUUCAUCUUUCCGGUAAAUAUAACGAAGAUGCAAAUAGACAUCUCACAAACUUCUUUGAACUAUGUGAAACAUUGAAGGUGGACGGUAACACUGAAGAAGGAAACAAGUUGAGACUACUUCUAUUGUCAUUGAAAGGUGAUGCUAGGGAGUGGCUUAAUUCUUUACCCUCUGAUAGCAUCACCACAUGAGAUGACUUUGAAGAUAAGUUCUUGGAACAAUACUUCCCUCCAAUUGUGUUCGUUAGAAAUUAAAAAUGCAAUAGAUUUCCCGUUACAAAAGGAGAAUAUCUUCGUGACACUUACAAGAAGUUCAAGAGUUUACUAGUAGGAUGCCCUAAUCAUGUUUAUGAUAAUACUGCUCAAAUGAAAAUAUUAUGUAAUGGUUUUAGACCUAACACUCAAAUUAUGUUGGGUGCUACAGCAAACAGUACUUUGAAUUACAAAACCGCAUCAGAAGCACGAAAAAUUAUCGUGAUCAUUACAUCAAAUGAACAAAUGAUGUUGUAUGAGAGAGGUGGUGGAUCAAAAAGUGAUAUGUUGGAGUUUAAUGUUAUGGAUGUUCGAUUGGCUCAAGGGAAGCUUCUACCAAAAUAGAUAGAAGAUGUUAUCGCCGCAGAGAUAAAGAAGGGUAUGGCACCUCUAAAUAUACAACCCCGAGUGUGUCUCAUCAAAUUUUUGAAACAUACAAGUUGCGACUUUUGUAGGGGAACACAUACAAAUGGAGCUUGUGAAGUACCAAAUAAUUAUGAUACAAAAAAACCAAAAGAAGUGAACUUCUUUGUUGUGUGAUUAUCCAUUUAUGUGUUAUCCCUUCAAAACUUGCACUAAUUCUGAUUUGCGUUACUUGUGGUUUAUGCAUACACUAUGCCAACUUUGUUUGCUUGUUUGAGUAUUUCUAACUAACAUAUGCAAAAUUUAUCCUUUUCUAUCCUUUUGAGUCUUGCUAUUUUCUUUUGAUUACUAGCCACAUUAGAAGCCAAAGACCUGACUUUGAUUAAAUCACCUUACUUGGAGUUAGGUAGGAAAUUUUUUAUCUCGUCUUGGUAAAGUUCUAAGUUUGGGGUGGUGGUUUUUAAAAAUAAAAUAAAAAAUUAAAACAAAAAAAAAAAAGAAAAAAAAAUCAGUUUGUGUACUUUGAUAAAUAACAUGUUCUUGGUCCUUUUGUCAAUGAUUGAGAAUCUCCACAAUGAAAAUAUAAAGAAGAAAAAAAAGAGGUAGAAUAAUAUGAAAAUGUAUACCUAACUACAAGUAGUAAAAACCUACUAUUCCAAAAAUAUAUCACCCUUACCUAAGCCUCACUACAACCUGAAAGUCUUCCGCAAUGUAUGUGUUUGUUGCAUUGUGAUUGCUAACUAGAACUUUUUUCAAGCAUAUGAUAGUGUAAUUCAUGUUCUAGGAUUUGAGUGAAAAACGCAUAACCCUUUCUAAAUACUUGAGAUAAAUUUUGGUAAGAUUAUGUGAAGAGAUAGUUGAACUUGAUGAAUGAAUGCUAAAUGUACAAAUGGUGUUGUUUUGUAAGCAACCACGAAGCAUGAUGAAUGUUUUGUAGUAGCGUGAACUUUGAGAAUUGAGUUUAAUUUGAUUUGAUAAAUUGAGUAUAAACUUUCUAUUAACAUACCAAAUAUGAAAUUAAUUGUUGUUUGGGGACAAAAAAAGACUAAAUUUGGGGUUGUGAUAACUCUUCAUCAUAUGCAUAUUUUUCUCACUUUCUAUGGAUCUUUUUGGCUAUUGGGAAAUUUGGAGACUUGAGCCCUAUUAGAUAAACUCAUAGACGAGUGUUUCUAAUACCAUUGGAGGAGUUUUAUGAAGAAUCAUUCAUGAAUUUUCUUGUAAUUCUUUUUUAAUUUCUAUCUUUUGUAUAUCUGUAAUGAGUAACUAAACCCUAUUUGUUCGGGAUGAAUGAAACAAGAUGAAACCGUUAUUUGUCUGAUUUGAUUUCUAGUUAUAUGAAUAAGUUUAUUGAAUUAUUUUUCUCAUCUUUGUGUUUAAUGCUUUUUAUUGCUUAAUUGACUUUAAAAUAUUUUAUGAUCCGUAUUUUGAAACGGAAGUGGCCUUUACGAAUGUUUGAGAUGAGAAAUUCAUGAUAUUGUAGUCUAGGGAUAGAUGUUGGUCAUGAACCAAUUGAAUUAAUUACAUAGACAAUAGUUUUACUAUAAAGCUUAAUUUUAAUCUUAAAUUCACAAAGGAAUUACAGGUUACUUUGAAAUUUAAGGUUCUUUCACUAAGACAUUAUGGCAAGAAUAAUAAAGAUAAUUUGGUAAUAAUUCAAUAAAGGAAUUUAGUAACUAGGAUCAAAUUAGAAUCCAAUGUUGGAUUCGAAGUAAAACUCAUUCCUGACAUUUUUCUUAUUAUAAAAGUUCAAUUCUAUUACUCUUGUUAAUUUCAAAUAUAAUUUAAAUCAAUUCAGAAACUUUUUGUUUAAUUUUUGCAAUUAAACAUAAUUCGAUAGUAAAACGCAAUCCUUGAGUUCGACACUCGGUACUACCGUUUUAUUAUUACUUGCAAUGAUUCAGUACACUUGCUGAAACACUAUUAGUGACAUACUAUAAUAUUGAUAUCAUCUGCUCUAAUUGGCUCCAUAUCAAGAUACGCAUAAUCAAUUACAUUGAUAUUUUUUGACAAGCUUUAAUAAUGGAUCAAUCUCUAAAGAUUCGAUAUGAAACUUCAUGAUACAUGAUGAUUUCUUACAAUCAGGACAACGACAGAAACCCUAAUCUAUGUUUCAGCAUAUAGAACAAUACAGAAAAACAUACUAUAAUAAGUACAAUACAAUUGCCUCUAGACUCUUGCCCUUAAUCUUUUGUUUUGUCUAAGUGUUGAGAAAUAGUUUGAGAACACAACUUUUUAAACACCCUUUUGUAAGAGUGAUUCUGAAACCCUUAAACCUCUGGAGAAAGUAGGAGGAUAAACACUCCAAGACAUCCUCUCAGAUAUAAAACACAUUCUCUCUCUCAAGACCAAAACUCUAGAAACACCAUCAACUACCAACUCUACCAUUCCAAAAACAUUUACCCUCUCCACACUUGUCUCUAACCCUACCUCAUCCACACUUGUGAAUCCAUUUAACCAAGUAGCUCAAAUGAUCAUUGACUUAGUCUUUGAUACAUCUUUAAAAGACUCAUCUGCUCAUCCAUCACCUCAUUUUCAUUUUGAACCUGCCACCUACACCACCCCUUUAGACCUCAUUCACCCUCAUACAUUCCAUUUCAUAUGACUUUCCAAACCUCAAAUCUUUCAUUACUUCAAUUAUUGUCAAAAUCACUUUAGCACACAAUAGUUUUUCACUACUUGGGUAAGGGCCAACAUGGAUCAUGGAAUGAAAAUUGCCUCCUAGAAUUCUGCUGCUUUUAGGCAAACAAUUGCCUCCAGAAAACUUAAAGCAAUCAUCUAGAAAGCUACUAACAACAACGAUAGAAGGCUCAUCAAGGCCAUAACCAUCUUCCUCUAGUGGUAUUCAUAUGGAACCCCCAAUAGUUGCUCCCUUAGCAACAUUGCAGUUUCAUGUAAAUUUGUCACACCUUUUAACCUGUGUUUGUUCUUUCCUAGUUUGUCUAGAAUGAAGACUUUGAUCAACUUAAAUCUAAGACAGAGGCAUUCACGGAACAAACAACCAAGAAUUUGGAGAAUAUUCAAAAUACCUUAAAUUCAAUCUUAGUUAGGAUGACCAACCCAAACAUGUAGUUCCCUGAAUUUUUGUAUCUUUGUUUGCGUGUAAUUAUUUUCCUCUGUUGUAUUUUCUUUUGCUUUUAUACUUGUUGGCUAAUCUACUCUUUUUGUCUAAAGACAAAUGUAGGAGAAUAUCUUGAACACUUUUAAUGAAAAUCUUAAGUAUUUUUUUAAUUUCAAUUAAUAAUGCUUAUCAUCUAUCUUGUCAGAAUAUAUUUCAUCCUCUUACAUUUAAACAUGAAUAUAUUAAGGAGGAGCCUUGUUGUGAUAUUAUAUGUUAUUAUUUUUUUUACUCCUUUAAAAUUUUAAAAUUGUUCACAAAAAUAAACAUUGUCAUCGUCAAACAAUGGGAGAUUGUUAGAACAAAGUUGGUUUGAAGAACUUUCACCCUCACUUGUUUUAAGUGUGCAGAUCCCAGACUAGGGAUUUUAUAUGACUUUGCAGUGCAUCCUCUAAUGUUUGAUCCAAGUUAAAGGAACACCAAGACUUUGCUCUGAUUUAUGUAUUUUAAGCCUUGUGAAUACGCUCUGAAACGUGCCUUUGGUGACUCUACCUAAUACAAACAAUGCUCUAAUUGGAUUGCUUAUAAUGCAAACAACCAGCAUAUGUUUACUUCUGCCUCUUAUGAUUUUGUCUAGCAUGAGAUUGUUUGCCUCCAUUGAACACGUCAACGCUUCGAUAAAAAAUCAACACUCAAGAUAGCCAAUGUUCUUAUGAAAGUAAUCGCUUUGAAAUGAUAAGCUCUGAAAAAGUCAUCGCUAAAAAAAAAAUCAACGCUCUUAAGAAAAUAAAUUUGUGCAUACUUUGUUCAACACCCUGAAUCUGUCAUUUGUCUAAAGGUCUAUGUGAUAUACAUUGAUCAUGAUAACCUCUUCUCUUUAUGUCGCCCUAUCAAGAUACGCAGAAUCAAUUACAUGCUUAUUUUUGGACAAGUUUUAAUGGUAGAUCAAUCUCUAUAGAUUUUGAUUAGAAACUUCAUGAUAUAUAUAUAUAUAUAUAUAUUGAUUUCUUGCAAAUAGGAGAAAGGCUAGAAAGCAUAAAUUUCUCUAUAAAAAGAUGUGCAACCCUCACUUAAGCAUUUACAACAUUACACAAUAAAAUAUAGCCGUCUAUGCACUAUUGUUCUUAAUUUUUUGCUUCGUCUAAGUGUAGAGAAACAGUUUCUAAGUAUACAACUUUGUAAACACCCCCUUGUGAGAGUGAUUCGAAAACCCUAAAACCUUUCAUUUUUUGUAACCUAGCCUAGUAGUGGUUGCAAUCCUCAACGUCUUGACUGUACUAAGCUAGAAGGUUGAGAAUACUUGAAUAUAGUCAGUUUGACUAGUAGGUGUUUAGUGGAAGUGUGAUUCAAUUGGUUAAUUUAGGUUUAAGGGACUAUAUGUAGCUACCAUGUUGGUGGUGAACCAUAAUAAAUUGGUUGUGUUGUUAUGUGUUUCUAUUUAUCUGUUCUGUUUUCAUCACUUUAUUUUAAUCUUGUUAAAAACUUUUUUAAUUUGAAACACAAUUCAAACCCCCCUUUUAUCUCUUGUUUCUCGUUCUACAACAUUAUCCUGUGGAUCAUGUUUUUUAACUAAUUGUUCAUCAUUUUCAAGGAUUUGAUGAAACAAUUUGAACUACUAGAUCAUUAGCACUUUGUGGAAUAGCAUGAAUGGGUGACCAAUAUCCACUUGAGCUUGAAAGAUAAUGUAAACAACAAUCAAUCUAUCAGUCAAAGUGGAACGUUGACACUUUAUAUGAUCAUGCACAAAAACCAAGUUCCUGAUUUAAUCACUCCCAUUAAUCAAGUGAUUUUCAAGAAAUAUUGCAUUUCUUGAUUAAAGAAUCCUAGUUGCAUGAGAUGGACCAUAAAAUUUAUAACCUUUAUACCUUUUGGCAUAUCCAAUGAAAUACCCACUAAUGGUCCUUGGUGUCCCCAAAAACUAGUUGCGCAAAAUUCUAGAAUUGUACGGGUUUGUCAAGUAGUACAAUAUAAGAUUAUCGUAUACGUAAAGAUUAAUUUAACAAGUACCAAACUAAUCAAAAUUUUAUAUUAUUUAGACUAAUGAAAAUUACUUUUGGUUCUUGAUAAUAAAAACGUAACAAUAACAUAAGAAUUAAAAUGAGAGUAUAUAACAACACAAUUUUGAAUUAAUGGAAAGUAAACCUAGUGUUAUGGUUUCACUUGUAAUAUCAAUAACUCAAAAUCUUGCUUUAUAUGAAUUCUUAUUUAUUUUCUCAAUUAUCAAUCCCUCUUUAAAACUAUUAACAAAGAUUCAUCAUUUGAUGUAAUAUUUUUCUCCUAAAUUAAUUCUUUGGUUGAUCAUACAAAAAAUAUAAUUAAGAGAAAGCAUUAAGAACCAAGACGUUGAGUGAUUGAAAGAUUGGUAUCUAUGUUUCAUCACACAAGAAUCAUAAUCUCAAUUAUCAUAUAGAUCUACCAACUAAUUGCAGUUGGUCACUGGUUAAUUGAUUGAUUAAGACAUGCAAAGGUCGGUCAUUCCAAAUAUGUAAAUAAAACAAUAGAAUAAUUUAAUGAGAUAAACAACAAAAAUAGAAAAUAAAACUAGAAUUAAAAGUAAGACAUAGUAAAAAGGUAUCUUAAUCACAAGAUUCACCAAAGUCUCUAGAAGAGAGCUUAGUUACUCAUUGACAUAUAGAAAAUAAAAUAAAUAUUAGAAUUGUUAAUCAGUUAAGGGAAAAGAAAUAAAACCCUAAAAGAGAAUAAAUUUUUGCUACAAAAUUUGAAACACUUUACUCCAACUUCAAGCACUCCCAAGUUUCCACUGUGUUCGUCCUUUUUUUUCCCUCUAAUUUUUUUUUUUAUAGAUGCAGCUCCUUUUUAUGAUAGCAAGAACAUCAUGUUUUUAUGCAACAAUCAUCCCCCUUCUUUGGCAACUUUUCUUAUCAUAAAAUCCAUCUCCUUGAAGUGUGCAACAAACCUUCUUCUUGUACUCAUAAGUUAGAGUAUUAAACUUGAUAUUUUUGCACUAAAAACUUAGUAGAUUUGACCGAUUUGAAUUAUUUUAUCAUCUUAUGAUCAAUUAUGAAAAUACAAUAAAUAAAUAAAUAAGAAUAAGUUGAAAUAAUAUUUGAGUUGUCAAAUUUAUUUGUUUUCAAAUAAGCUUGAAAUCAAAAUAAAUUACGAAACUAAAGAUAUUUUUUUCUCCAAACUCUCCAAUGAUAAGCAAUUUAUCAUGGAAACUCAUGUAUUCUUUAUAUGAGAUAAAUCUCAUAGGAACUAGUGGGAGAAUUAUAGAACUUGGAAAAAUCCAAGCACCACAAGACUAAUGGUAAUGGAACAUCGGUAAAUUUCACAAGUGUUAUGGACAUGUCACUUAAUUUUAUUAAACAAUAUCUAGAUAGGUACAACAAGCUAUGUCGUCACAAAAUAUGUGAAGGACUUCAUGUGAACCAGCAAGGUUGAACCUUGAUGGAGUUGCCCUGAUGGAUAUAGGAUGCAAAUGGGUAUUUAAUUGAAGACUAGAAUGGAUGGUAUGUUUAACACAUUUAAGUCAUGUGUGCUACGAAAUGUUUCAUCCACAUCUAUGAUAUAGACUAUGAUGAGACUUUCUCUUAGUUAAGAUGCUUAAAUCCUUCAUAGAUUCUCUUGUGAUCUUGUGUACAUAUAGAGGUUAGCGGGAGCAUUAUUGAUUUUGGUCUUAUAUGUGAAAUAUGUAGGUAUCGUAAAAAUAAUAGCAUCCCUACAAAGCGUAGAAGCAUAGUUGAAAAAUAUUUCUUGAUAAAGGACUUGCGCAACAUUUUCCAAGUGUUAGGAUUCAUGAUCUAUAGUAUAAAGUUAUUUGAUCUUGUUUAACGUACAUAUGAUAAAAUCAUAAUGAUUUGUCUAGGAGACAAUUUUCUAUCUCAUCACAUUAGAAAGAAAACAUGAGAUAGAAAAUUAGGCAUUUGGACGAAGUUUGUAAUGGUAGAAGCUAUGUCAAGUUCAAAAGAACUUCCACAUCCAAACACCCAUCUAAUUACAUUAGAAAGUAGAUAUACUCAGUUUUAUAAGAAAUAAAUUUUCUAUCUCAUCACUUUGUAGUAAUUAGACCACAUAUAUCAUAUGCUAUGAGCAUAACGAAAGGUAUCAGUUUCAUUUUAGUGACAAUAACUAAAUUGUAAUCAAGAAUAUCCUUUAGUAUCAAACUGACUAAGGACAUAUUCUUGAUAGAUGGUAAUGAAUAGGUCAUUGGAAGGUAUUACAUUGUCAUUACUUCCAAACCGAUAAAAGUAAUUUAAGAUCACUGUUUGGAUUAUACUAUGUAUAUAUUGUGGUACUUUGAGAUGGAAGAGUUCCAAGUGAAGGAUAACUUUUCUCUUGCAAAACUGAGUUAUCUACUUCUAAUGUAAUUAGAUGGGUGAUGGGAUGAGGAUGUUCUUUUGAACGACAUAGUUUCUACCAUUACAAACUUCAUUGAUUUCAUUGGUAUAAUGAUAAAUUAAUUGUAUAAGGCAAAGAAUCUUGAUCUCAUCAAUGAUCCAAACAUAUACUUAGUUGCAACUAUCUCAUUCAAUAGAUGAUCGAAAAGAGAGAUGUGAACAUGUGAAGAAUGACUACACAAUCUAUUUUCAAAGGGUGUUAUGUUGAUACUUGAUUGGCUCUAGUGCUAGUGGGAGAUUGUUGGUGUAAGCCCUAGCACCAAUCUAUUUUAUAUAGAUUAUCAUUUGUAUCAUGGAUUUAAAUCAUAUAUCUAAUUUUGGUUAUAUGUGCAAGGCAUCAUUUAUUAUGUUAUCAAUAAUAUAAUAUAGCAAAGUCCUUAUAAUAGAUAGUUCGUUUAAUAGAACAUCAAGUGUGACUUGAUCAUGAGACCCUUUAGAACAUUAGAAAACUAUUAAGUAACCAUAGUCAAAGUACUAUUGUUAAUUAGGACAACAAUAAUACAUUGAGACUAUUAUGCGCGUAGACUCAUGAUCACAUCUCAUAGGUCAUGAAUAUGAGAUAUCAAGUCGUCACAUAGGUAUAAAUAGUAGGUGUAAUAUUUAUAUUGUAAUGACCUGUCAUGAGAAAUGCUACAUAAUUGUUGUGUAAGUGUCAUUAACGAUUCUCAAAUGAUCAUUGCAAGUAGUCAUUUGACUUGAAGUCGAGACAUUCUUGAUAUGGGGAGUUGUAGGAUUUAAGCCCAUCAAAUGUUGUUUGUAACAAGACAAUCAUAAAAGUUGUUACUAUGAAUGCAAUAAGCCAUGUGGAGGGUGUAAGUGUUGUAUACAGGAUUCGUCCCUCCUACAUAACAGAAGUUAUGACUUAGGUCACUCGAUAGAGUGAGACAACGGAAAUGCAUGGUCAUGCUAAAAUAAAUCAGUAUGUGAUAUUGGAUCCAUGGAUUUUACGCAUCUAUUUUGGGAUUGAAAAAUUAAAAAUUCAAGUAUUGCUAAGAUUUAUGUUGUGACUUUCGUUCAAUUAGGCAUUUGGACGAAGCGACAAUUAUUGCACAGUAAAUAGUGGUCGCGGUAAGAUUUAAAUCGUACCACCGAUUUUCUGAUGAUUUGGGUAGCAAUGAUGGAUUGAUAUAUGUCAAUCAUCGUUUAUAAUAUUUUAUAUGAUACAAACUAUAUAUAAUAUUUAAUAUUAUUACCAUUUCAAUGAGAACCUAUAAAAGUCACACGCAUAGAGUACGUACAACACAACAAAUGAUUAAAUUAAAUAAGAUUUGAUUUAAUUAGAAGUUAAUUGUAUUUUAUAUGAUUUAAUACUUUAACAUGUUUAUAAUUUAUUUAAUUGAAUAAGAUUUGAUUAAAUAUAAUUUAAUUAAAUUAAUAAUUUGUAUUAAAUUAAAAGAGGUUAAUUAAAUCUAAUAGUUUAGAACUUAGUUCGGUUUGGGCCCAAAAUAAUAGUCUUAGGUUUUAGUGGUUCAUUCUUUAUAAAUAGAAGAAGAGCACACUCUAAGUAAUCUUAAUUGCCACUACCCUCCUAUUAUAGCCAGCACGUUCCGUUUUAUGACAUAAACUAUGUAGACACGCUGAUAAUUUUUGUAUUGUUGAUCAAAGUUAAAGAGCAUUUCAAAAUAGAUGUUCUGUGUUGGUGAUUUGUCUCAUUGAUGCUUCAAAAGAAAAUUACAUGAACCCUUCAAACAAAAUUUUGUAUUGAUCUUUAAAUAAAAGGAAUUUUUCACUAGUAAAAAUAAUUAUAAGAAGAAUCUUCAAAGUCUAUCGCAUAUUACCAACUGGAUGGUCAUCUUUGUUUCUUUUAUUUUCAAACAAACCGAUGGUAUCAUGAUCAUUAGAGUUGGCCAUUUUUGUGAUCGAGAAAGGGGAGAGGAUGAGAGUUAUGAACGUGAGAUACACAAACAUAAAUUGUUGAUGAUAAACUGUGUAUCUAUGCUCUUCUAUCGAAUUAGAGACAUUGAACUUAGCACUAACAUUACCCAAAUUGUGCACACAAGACACCUUAAAAAACCAAUACACACGGGACAUAUUGUAAAUAUACAAAAAAUUUAAAAAUAUAAUAAUAUUAUUAGCAGGUUCAGGUACAAGGUAGAUAUUAACAUCUUAAAUUUAUCUUCAUCUCUUAAUUUUAAUUUUGAGAAAAAUCAACAUCUAAUUAAAAUAAGUUUUUUCUUCGCUCAAAUCGAGAUGCGUUGUGAGUUCCUGCGAGUGCAGGUGGCGUUGUGAUCGUUACUACAGUUGGGUUUUGAUGCAUUCACAUAGUCGGAUAUCGAUAACUAUUUUUGAUCAAAAUCGGACGACUCAAAUUAAAUAUCAAUAUUUUAAAAUAUAAAGUAAAAAUUAAAAUUUAUAAUUUUUAAAAUGUGUGAUCAAGUUCGGAUAAACGAUAAUGUCUUUUAAAUUUAUGAAUGCGUCAAACUAUUCACAACAAAGAAUCCAAUUUCGUUUGGAAAAGGAGAAAAAGAAAUAUGGACCUUUCUAAUGGUAGCUUGGUCCCGUUGACCCAACAACUGCAGUCUCAACUUCCAACCAUUGAAUUUGAAUGCCCCACAAUAUUACCCACUUGAGCCCUCCAUUGUCCUUGCAUGUCUAAUGGUAAAAUUGUGUGUUCACAAAGGUGGAUCAUGGAUUGGGUUUAGAAUAAGGAUAUAUUCUAAUUUGAACCAUUUUCAUAUGUGGGUCUACUAUGUAAUGAAUUUAAACGUUGAUUGAUGAUUAAUUGAAAAUUUAUUUUCACAACUAUUAUUGUCUUUAUUUCUUAUAGGGUGAUUUAAUUGAUGUCGAUUUAACGAGUUGAUGUUUGAAAGAUAUGUUCGUUUUCUCAUAUUUUUAUCUAGUUGACUUCAAUCAAGUUCAUGUCUCAGCCAAAAUAAUAAAAAGGACCGUUCGAAGAGUGUCAUCAAUCUUCGAUAAAGUUUCUGUAAUUUUUAAACAUUAAUCUACAGUAUAUCACGUUUAAAGACUAUCCACCAUAAAAUUUACAUUAGAUGUUAGUGUGCAUAUAUAUAUAUAUANNNNNNNNNNNNNNNNNNNNNNNNNNNNNNNNNNUAAUUACUUUUAAAAUUGAAAUUUAAAAACAAACAACAAAAAUAUUAAAACUAAAAUUUAUAUUUGUUCAACUAACAUAUAUAUUAUAAAAGUGGAUCAAACAAAUUAAAUUAAAAUGUACAGUAAACAAUAAAAUAUAAUAAAAAAUAUGUAGCAUGGCAUACAGACCUUUGUGUUCAUUUGUUUUUCUAAUAAUACUAAUAAUAACAAUAACAAUAACAAUAACAAUAACAAUAACAAUAACAAUAACAAUAACAAUAAUAAUAAUAAUAAUUAUUAUUAUUAUUAUUACUUGAUAAAGAGGUGGUAGUAACACAAUCUCCUAGUUUUGAAGUGAAGAUUGGUUUCACCAAAUGUUUCUCUAAGCAUGGGGAUUAUGUGAGAAAUUAAGGAGCCGAAUAAAGAAUAUUGUUAUGAAUUUAUACAUUGGAGCGGAACUUAGUUAUGAUAUGAGGAGACCACGGUCACCUACAAUAAUAUUUAUCUAUAAUAUAUAGUAUAUGUAACCAAUGUCUCAUUAAUAAUAUCAAAUUGUUGAGUGACUUAGUGGUAAUGGAGAUUUUUAUAAAUCUUAUGUUCUGAGUAUUUUUAAUACAUCUAAAAAUUAAAAUUACCACUAUAUAUAUCAAAUCAAAUUUAUGAGAUUAAUUAAAAUAUAAUUUAUAUAUAAUCUAUUUUAUAUUGACCUUCCAAUUAAACUUGUCAAGAUUCGCCACUGUUUAAAAGAAACAUUAUCAUUUGCUAGCAACAAAGAGAAUUCUAAGUAUAUUGUAGGAGUGAAGAUCAAGUAAAAGACAUAGUAAAAAAAUGUGAAGAUUGAAGUGUUAAGAAAUUAAGAGAUAUAAUGGGUGUUGAGUCCUUUUCUAAUAUGAAUUAAGAUGGUUUGUUGUAAAAGUUAGUUAAUUGAGUUAGACAAAAGUUGGAUAGUAGUUAAAAGUUGUUAGUUUUAGUUUAUUAUAUUUUAGUAAUAGUUAAGUGGCUAUGAAUGUAAAAUAGUAUAAUGUGAAAGUGUAUAAAUUAAUACUAAAGUAAUCAUAUAUCAGUUAAAUAGGACAAAAUGUAUAUUCGAUUCAAGAAUUUUCUCAUAAUAUUCUCUCUUCACAUUUAUCUUUUACUCAAGUGUAAGUUGCGGGUGAAAUAACAAGUGAAAAACAUUAUUCUAACCGUUCUCGAAACAUUAAUUCUUCUCAUUCACAAAAAAAAAAAAAAAAAAAAGUGAAGACUCAUUUUAUACUCCUCAGAUAAAUCAUGAGACCCAAUUUAGUCUCUCGAAAAAAUAAAUAAAGAUAACUUUAAGCUCAUUAAAAAAUUAAAUCAGAACAACUUAGUUUCUAAUUUCUUUAAACUAUGUAUGGUUGAUGAUGGAAAGAAAAGAAAGCGAAUAGAAAACAAAAUAUAUAGAAAAUAAGUUGAUUAAUUAGUAGUUUGAUAUAAUAUAAAAUGCAAAGAAAUUAUAACAGAAAGAAAUUAGAUAUGAUAAAAAUAAUACAAAUAAUAUUUCAUUACAAUCAAUAAAAAUUUAUAAAAUAUAUAAAGAAAUAUAAAGAGAAUAAAUAUAUACAAAAAUCAGUGUUUUAAAAAAUCUCUAAUAACUAAUCUUAUUGAACACCAAAUUUUAUUUUUAUAAUUUGUAAUAAACGUGCCUUUAAAAUAUUUUAAUGGAAUUAAAAUUAUAAAAGAAAUGCAAGAAACUGUAGUUUCCAUUCAAUAAUAAAAAAAACAAUAAGGGUUCUUGGAUUAACUACCUAGCUAGGAUAAUAUUUAGGUUUUUUAAUGUUAAUUCAAUUAAAAUGUGUUAAGAUGGUGUAUAAAAAUGUCAAUUUUUAUGGAUGAUAGUGUAAAAAAUUUUACACAGUCAAUAUAUAUAAAUUAAACUUUAAGAGAAAAUAAAAAAAAAUAUUUAUAAAAUAACAUAAAUAUUUGUUUAAGUAAAAAUUAGAUACGAUUAAAAGAAAAAAUUAUAAAAUAUAAAGAGAAUUAUAAUCUUUUUAUGCUUUUUAUCAUAUCUAAUUUUUUUCUUAAGCACGUUUAUAUCAUUUUAUAAAUACACAUUUUUUUUAAUCAUAAUUUUUUUAUUUUCUUUUAUAGUAAACUAUUAAAUAAUCAACUCAUUUUCUCUAUUUUUCACUUUCUAUUAUUUUCUGACUCUCCUUAUUCAUAAACCAAAUAAAUUAUAAAGAAAAUAUAAAUUAAGUUGUUCCGUUUUAACAUUCUUAAAGAUUAAAAAUUACCUUUAUUUUUUUCAUGGUUUUAAUUGAAUUUCAUGAUUUUUCGCAUUUAAUUGACAAAUAAUAAUAGUAAUAACAAAGCAUAUCUAGAGAAAGAGAAUAAAAGAAUCAUAAAUUAAAAAAGAGAAAUUAAAAUUUAUUAAUAAUUAAAUUUAAUUAUGAAUUUUUCUAUAUCAUCAUAGAAUCAUAUAGCCAGCUUAUUUUUGAUUUGCAUUCCUUUCCAAACAUGGAGAAAUACUCUUGUUAUUGUUAGAGAUAUUAUUAGACAAUAUAAUAUUGGAGGAAGAAUAUUGUGUUAAGUAAUUUUUUAUUUUUAUGGAUGCUGUGAAAUGACAAUGAUUUUCUUUAUGCUAGUUUUAUACACAAUAUUUUUUGUCUUGAUAAGGAAAUAAUGGUUGGUGCCAGCCUCAAGCCUCAACAUUGGCAUUGGAAUAUAAAAAUCAUUUCAAUGUACACCAAGUUGGGUUGUGCAUUUUUGUUUUGAUUUAUAAAUUAUAAUCUAAUGGACUUCUUAGCUAGAUCUUGUGCAAAAUUACGUCAUAUCAAACGAAAAUUAAUAUGCAAACUUUUUCUUUUUUUGACAAAAAUUAAUAUUCAAACUUGUGAUAACGAAAAAAAAAGGAAUAGUCUAUUAAAAAGCUAUGAGAACUACUUAAUAGCGAUCCGGUCUAAUGGAAGAGUUAGAUUUCUAAAAUGUAGUAAAUUAAAGUUUGAGUUCAACGACAGAUUUUAAAUUUCCUUUGAUAGGAACAUUAAAAUUGUAUAUAUUUUGAUUAAAGAAAAAUAUUAUUAAUUCUUAUAAAAUAUAUAAUUAGAAUGGAUAGAUAAAUUCAAAAUACAUUAGAAUUUUUAUAAAUUAUAAUUGCUCUCCACGAUAUUUAGUAUUCACAAAAUAUUUAAUGUUUUUUUUUUUUUUAUUGUUAACACUAUCAAAUAUGUCAUACUAACAAAUCAUGCAACCAUUCAUUCUCAUACAAUUGAUGAUUUCAUCCUUCAUUAAAUUAAUGACAUAGAAAUAUCUGUCAAUGCGUCAGAGUGAGUAAGUGAUGAGUGAGUCCUAGUGGGCCUAAAACUAUAAUAUUAGUAAAAAAAAAAUUUGUUAGGGCAAGAGCCGCCAUUAGACACGUAGUUGAUUCGCCGGUGUUUGAAUCUUAGUUGAAAGAUGUAUUCAUAUUUAAUAUGUAAAUGUAUCCACACGUCUCAAAUAAGAUUAUCUAUAAUGAAGUAACUUAUAUAGAACUAAACAAACUAUGAAAGUAAACAAGGCAUAUAUGCAUAAUUAUUUUUUUUAAAAAAAGGCAUGCUUAAUGCAUUUAAGCAUUGUUUUAUCAUUUUUUUUAUUGAAUAUACAUCUAAUUUCAUAAUAAUAAACAACGGCUUUUAUAAAUAAAAUAUAAAGUUUUUCCUAAUAAAUAUUUGAUGAAAUAUUUAGGAAAUUAAAUUGGUAUCAGUCGAUGGAGGAAGAAACAAACAUCUACAUCUUAAUAUGAUUGACACUUAGUGGACUGUGGAAAUAGUCUGGGGGUCACAACCUCCAUAUGUUCAAGUGAGCUCAUUUGUGAAAAAACCAAGGUAAAGAUAAGCUUGAUAAAAAAAAUAAAAUAGUGAAAGAAAGAUAAAGAAACAUAGGUACUUCUAAGAAUAUAGUUAGCUUUUGAGAAGACUAGCAAACCAUGAAGGAAGAGUAGUGCAUUAAAAAUAGAGAAGGUAAGAUUUGGAAUUGAGUACGAAGAAGAAUGGGGAGCGUCAUUUUUAAUGAGAAAAAAUGUGUCGCACAUUGGGAAAUGUGCAUUUUAGAUAUGAUUGAAUUGACUAAAGUAAGGUACAAUUGAUAUGACGAGACAAUUGGUAUGACAAGACUAGAUGUCAUAUCAUUUUAGAUGUUCCCGAGAUAAAAGGAUGUACAAUUGAUAUUACGAGACACUUGGUAUGAAAAACUAUAGAUUAUAUCAUUUUAGAUGUGACUGAUGACUCUUCAUCAUAUUCAUAUUUUUCAUUGUUUUUAUUUUUAUUUAUCUUUAAUUAUUAGUUGAUUUAAGGAGUUAUUUGAUAUAUUUUGUUGAUUUUAGUUCUUUGAGUUAAUAAAUUGUUUGUGGUUUUAUUCCAUUGAUUAAGUAGGGAUUUUUUUUUUAGUUUUACGUUGCUUUUUGUUUUAGUGAACUGCUGAAUUUUUGCGAGAAAUCAACAUGACAUAUGUGUAGUAUUUCAAUCAUAUAAGGAGUUGUAUAUGUCCAAUUGGAGUCAAACCAAGUGCAAAUGAAAUCUAAGAUCCAUAGCUACAAUUUUCAUGAAGACAUCGGAACCCUAUUAAGAAUCAAAAAAAGAGACAAAUGCAGAAAACGUCAAACAGAAGAAGUUGUGCGCCUGAAGCGCAAUAGCCGCGCAUGGGACGCAUUUCCAUGCUGAAGACUAUGUCAAUUCACGCUUGAAGCGCAACACCUGCAUUUGGGACGCAUGGCACACAACGACAUACAUUAAAAUGCAUUUUUUUUCACUUUCUAGGUAUCUUUUUUUACUAUUGGGAAGUUUGGAGACUUGUGUCCUAGCAUAUAAACUCAAAGACGGUCGUUUCUAAUACCAUUGGAGCAGUUUUAUCAAGAAUAACUCAUGAAUAUUUCUUAUAAUUCUUUUCUAAUAUCUGUCUUUUCUAUCUCUAUCAUGAGUAACUAAACCAUAUUUGUUAGGGAUGAGUGUAACAAGAUGAAACCCUUAUUUUUAUGAUUUGAUUUCUAGUUAUAUGAAUGAGUUUAUUGAAUUAUUUUUCUCAUCUCUGUGCUUAAUGCUUUUUAUUACUUGAUCAAGAUUAAAAUGUUCAAUGAUUCGUGUUUUGAAACGGAAGUGGACUUUAGAAUGUUUGAGAUGAGAAAUUCAUGAUAUUGUAGUCUAGGUAUAAAUGCAUGUCAUGAAACCAAUUAAAUUAGUUGCAAAGGCAAUUGUUUAACAAGAGAAUUCCUAUACAGUAAGACUUAAUUAUAAUCUUAAAUCCACUAAGGAAUUAGGGGUUUCUUUGGAAUUAAAGGUUAUGUCACUAAAACAUUAGGGUAAGAAUAAUAAAGAGAUUUUGGUAAUAAUUCAAUAACGAAAUUCAGUAACUAGGAUCAAAUUAGCCACCAUUCUUAGAAACAGGGAGAUCUAUGAGGAAGAAAAUGAUAUCCCCUUGAUCUUGGGGAUAUCAUUCUUAGAAACAGGGAGAUCUAUGAUUGAUGUGGUAGAUGCCACCUUAACCUUUAAGGUAAAUGAGGGAACUGUUACAUUCAACAUUCUAAAAGCCAUAGAGCAUUCAAUCGAAAGAGAAUGGUGCUACCUAAUUGAGAUUUUCAAUUUGAUAGUCGAUGAAGAAGUUGAACAUCAAGGACUCAUUCUGCCGUUAGAAAGAGUGGUAUGUCUACCGCAAGAUGUUGUUAAAGAUAGUGAAGAUCCAAGAGUAAAAUAUGUUUUAUUCAUGUUAGAAGCAUCACCAUCCCACUCUCCCCGCUUCCAUACUACACGGGAAGAGUUGAAAGGGAAUGAAAGAGAAAAUUAAAGAGACGCUCCUAGUUGAACUCAAACAAUUGCCACCUCACUUGAAAUAUGUAUCCUUUGGUGAGAAAGAUUGUGUGUUCUUUAUGUCAUAUAAUACACCUUCACAAUGGUUGAGGCUUCAAACAAAUGACUUUAAAGAAGCGCUUCGUGGGAGGCAACCUAUAGGUAGAGGUAACUUUUAUUAUUACAAUCUUCUUUUUUUAUUAUUAUUUGAAUUUGUUUCUUUUUAAUUGUGUGUAAACGUGCACUAUAAUAAAUAAUUUUUAACAACUUGAAGCUAGUCUUAAACUAUUUGUUUCAUAUUUUGAAUUUAAACUCUAUUUCUUUGCUCAUAUCAUUGCUCAAUUCGAUAAGUUUCACUAAUGCAUGCAUUGUUGAUUACUCCUUGGUUGUCGAAGUCUCACUUGCCAUUUUUUUUAUAAAAAAAAAAAAACUAAAUAUAUUUUUUAGUGGCAUGUUUGGCAUCACUUAGAUAGUUCAUAUUCUCUCUUAUUAUCCUAGUUGUGAGCUUUUGGGUCUAAACUCUUUAAUUAUUUGUUGUAUGAUUUUUCAGACAUGUAUUAUCCCUUCAGAACUUGCACUAUUCUGACUUGCAUCACUUGUAAUUUAUGCAUACACUAAGACAAAUUUGUUUGGUUGUUUGAGCCUUUAUAACUACCCCAUGCAAAUUUUAUCAUUCGGUAGCCCCUUUGAGCCUGAGGCGCAUUUCCAUGCUGAAGACUUUGUCCAUUCACGCUGGAAGCGCAAGAGUUGCAUCUGGGGCGCGUGGCACACAACAACAUAAAUUAAAAUGCAUUUUUUUUUUCACUUUCUAGGUAUCUUUUUUUACUAUUGGGAAGUUUGGAGACUUGUGUCCUAGCAUGUAAACUCAAAGACGACAAUUUCUAAUACCAUUGGAGCAGUUUUAUCAAGAAUAACUCAUGAAUAUUUCUUGUAAUUAUUUUCUAAUCUCUGUCAUUUCUAUCUCUUUCAUGAGUAACUAAACCAUAUUUGUUAGGGAUGAGUGUAAAAAAAUGAAACCCUUAUUUUUCUGAUUUGAUUUCUAGUCAUAUGAAUGAGUUUAUUGAAUUAUUUUUCUCAUCUCUGUGGUUAAUGCUUUUUAUUAUUUGAUCAAGAUUAAAAUGUUCUACGAUUCAUAUUUUGAAACGGAAGUGGACUUUACGAAUGUUUGAGAUGAGAAAUCCAUGAUAUUGUAGUCUAGGGAUAGAUGCGGGUUAUGAAACCAAUUAAAUUAGUUGCAAAGACAAUAGUUUAACAAGAGAAUUCAUAUAUGGUAAGGCUUAAUUCUAAUCUUAAAUCCACUAAGGAAUUAGGGGUUACUUUGGAAUUAAAGGUUAUGUCAUUUAGACAUUAGCGCAAGAAUGAUAAAGAGAACUCGGUAAUAAUUCAAUAAAGAAAUUCAGUAACUAGGAUCAAAUUAGCCACCAAGAUUGGAUUCAAAGUGAAACUCAUCCUUGACAUUUUUCUUAUUAUAAAGGAUCAAUUUUAUUAUUGUUGUUAAUUUUAUAUAUUAUUUCAAUCAAUUUGAGAACUUUUUGUUCAAUUUUAGUAAUUAAAUAUAAUUCAAUAGUAAAACGCAAUCGUUGAGUUCAACACUCGGUACGACCGUUUUAAUUAUUACUUGCAACGAUUCAGUAUACUUACUGAAACACUAUCAAGUUUUUGGCGCCAUUGUCGGGGAUUGCUAUAUCACUAUUUAGUAAAAUUUAUUUACUUAAUUAAAAAAAUUUGCUCUGCAAUAAAAAUUUUGUUUUUGUUUUAAUUAUUUAUUUUUCUUUUAAAACUUUUUAUUACUCACAAUUUGUCUAACCUUGUACGUGAGGCCAAUCCUCAGUUGAACUUCUCUUUGAUCCAAAAAUCGAAAAAAUUGCAAAAGCAAAUCGAAAGGUGGUUCGAGAAAGGAGACAAAGGAAAAUACAAUUAGUAGUAGAAGAAGAGGAUUUGUGAGAUUUUUUUAUAUUUGUAGAUAUGGUUGAUCCACCACUGUUUGAACGUAUCAUCGGCGAGUAUGAGAAUCAAGAUAUAAACCGUGCUCGGUUGGCCAUCCAUAACCAACCGGUUACAGUCAACAAGUGCGUAAUAAGUCUCGUCUAUAUCGAGAGUUGAAGGAUAUUCAUUUUUUUGGAUAAACAUAACAAAGACUCCAAUAGACAUCUCACAAACUUCUUUGAAGUAUGUGAAACAUUGAAGGUGGAUGAUUGCUUUGAAGAAGGCAAGAUGUUAAGACUAUCUCCGUUUUUAUUGAAAGAUGAUGCUAAAGAGUGGCUUAAUUCUUUACCCUCCAGUAGCAUCACCACAUGGGAUGACCUUGAAGAUAAGUUCUUGGAACAAUACUUCCCCCCAACUAUGUUCGUUAGAAAAAGGAAAGAGGUUUCCGGUUACAAACAAAAAGAAGGAGAAUCUCGUCUUGACACUUACUGGAGGUUCAAGAGUUUACAAGCAGGAUGCCCCAAUCCUGCUUGUUACGAUACUGCUCAAAUGAAAAUAUUUUGGAAUGGUUUGAAGCCUAGCGCUAGAAUUACGUUGGAUGCUACAACAGGUGGUUCUUUGAAUUACAAAACCGCAUCAAAAGCACGAAAAAUUAUUGAGAUAAUGGCAUCAAAUGAACAAAUGAUGUUGUAUGAUAUAGGUGGUGGGUCAAAAAGUGUAUGCUGGAAUUGAAUGUUCCGGAUGUUGGGUUGGCUCAAGGGAAGUUGCUCUCAAAACAGAUAGAAGAUGUUAUCGCCAUUGAGAUAAAGAAUGGAAUGUCAGCUCUAAAUAUACAACCUCAAGUGGCCCUUGUCAAAUUAUUGAAACAUAUUGGUUGUGACUUUUGUUGGGGAGCAGAUAAAAAUGGAGCUUGUGAAGUACCGGAUGAUGAUGAUAUAGAAGAAUCAAAAUAGGUUAACUUUAUGGGUAACAAUGGGAAGCAGAAUAAUGCCUACUCUAGUACGUACAACCCGGGUUGGAGAAAUCAUCCAAGUUUUUCAUGGAAAGAUCAACAGGGUGGAUCUCAAGGUCAACAAGGAGCUUAAGCAAAUCAAGUCCCACCUCAAAAAGCGGCUUAGGAGAGUGCUAUUGAGAAUUAGUAACAAGCACACAUUCUUUUAUUUAGGAGUCAAGAGCCAUCCAGAAAAACCACUCAGCCUCAAUAACGAAUCUGGAGACCCAACUGGGUCAACUUGCUCAACAAGUAGCACAAAGAACGCUAAGAAAUAUGCCAAGUGACACAGUUCUGAAUCCACAAAAUAAUGUCAAUGUCGUGACAACAAGGAGUGACAAGGUAAAUGGUUGCCACCUAAGCUCAAAGAUCUUGGAAGCUUCUCUAUUCCUUACGCUAUUGGAGAUAGAACUUUUGGAAAAGCCAUGUGUGAUCUUGGGGCUAGUGUAAGUCUUAUGCCCUUUUCCAUAUACAAAAGGUUAGGCAUUGGAAGAGUAAAAAACACACAACUGAUGUUACAGUUUGUGGAUCAUUCAAUGAAACACCCAUAUGGGGAAGUGGAAGAUGUGUUGGUCAAAGUAGAUAAGUUCAUUUUUUUUUCCAGUGGAUUUUGUGGUACUAAACAUGAGGGAAGACAACGAUAUCCCAUUGAUCUUGGGGAGACCAUUCUUUGCAACACGGAGAGCUAUGAUUGAUGUGGUUGAUGGCACCUUAACCUUUAAGGUAAAUGAGGAAACAAUUACAUUCAAUAUUCUAAAAGCCAUAGAACAUUCAAACGAAAGAGAAAGGUGCAACUGAAUUGAGAUUUUCAAUUCGAUAGUCGAUGAAGAAGUUGAACAUCAAGGACCCAUUCUACCGUUAGAACGAGUGGUAUGUCUACCCCAAGAUGUUGUUAAAGAUAGUUAAGGUCCAAGAGUAAAAGAUGUUUUAUUCAUGUUAGAAGCAUCACCAUCCCACUCCACCCGCUUCCAUACUACAUGGAAAGAGUUGAAAGAGAAUGAAGAUGAAUAUAAAGAGAAAAAGAAAGAGACGCCACUGGUUGAACUCAAGUAAUUUCCAUCUCACUUGAAAUAUGUAUCCAUUGGUGAAAAAGAUUGUGUGUUCUUUUUGUCAUAUAAUACACAUUGACAAUGGUUGAGGCGUCUAGCUAAUAACUUUAAAGAAGCGCUUCUUGGGAGACAACCCAUAGGUAGAAGUAACUUUUAUUUUUGCAAUCUUUUUUUUUUUUUUUUUUUAAUUUGUUUCUUUUUAAUUGUGUGUAAACAUGCACUAUGAUGAAGAAUUUUUAACAACUUGAAGCUAGUCUUAAACUAUUUGUUUCAUAUUUUGAAAUUUAAACUCUAUUUCUUUGCUCAUAUCAUUGGUCAAUUCGAUAAGUUUCAUUAAUACAUGCAUUGUUGAUUACUCAUUGGUUGUCGAAGUCUCACUUGCCAUUUUUUUUUAAAAAAAAUUGUAAUUGGUCACAACACAUCGCCGACAAGGCUCAUUGGAACAAAUACUUGUAGAACGAGAAAACAAGAAAGAAAGGGUUGAAUUGUGUUUCUUGUUUAUAAUAUUUUUUGCGUGGUAGCUACGUCUAGUCCCAACCAAUUUAUCCCAGUUCACCACCAACAUGGUAGCUACGUCUAGUCCCUUCAACCAAGAGGAUUUAAACCACUAAUUCACCGCAAAAUCAAACUUCCACUUGAACACCAACUUGUCACAUAGAUUGUGCUUAACCUUCUCAAUCUUCUAGCUUAGUACAAUCAAACUUUUGAGGAAAGACAACCACUACUAGGCUAGGUUACAAAAGAAAAGGUUUGGAUUUUUCUAAAUUAGCUCUCAUAGAGAGUGUUUACAAAUUUGUUCUUUCAUAAACUUUUCUUAGUCCUAAAGAGAAAAGGAAUUAUUAUGAGCAAUAUUUAGGAUGUGCUUAUAGCUUGUGGUUUCUUUUCUUUCUAGUGAGGAAUGCACGUCCAUUUUAUAUAGAUCGAUUAGGGUUUCUGAUCAUUGUCCUGAAUGCAAGAAAUCAACAUAAUUCAUGAAGUUUCUUAUCGUAUCUUUUGAAAUUUGUUUGCCAUAGAAACUUUCCAAAAUGGAUCUUGUAAUUGAUUCAACGUAUCCUUUUUAAAAUAGUCGGGAAGUUGAUGAUACGAUGGUCAUAACAUGUCUUUUUUUAAUAUCUUUAGACAAGUAGCAAAUUCAGGAUGUUCAUCAGAUGAUACACAUAUACUUUGUCUUCUUUGGAGCAUUGACGUUCAUCAAAGCGUACAACAUAAAUCAGAGUCAUACGAUCAGAUGCAUGAAGUGAUUAUUAGAGACAAACUAUUACUUGCUUGUUAAGCUUAUCAGAGGCAGACAAACACUUGCGUUCAAUAUAGUCAACUGAAACAAAACAUAUCGUGUAUUUCUAUAGUCACUAAAACCAGAGCAUUACUUGCAUUAUCGAAGUCAACCAACACAGAGCGUCGCUCGUGUCACUAGAGGCGCGCGCCAAUGCGCUUGCAUCAAACUUAGAAAAACGGAGUGAAGCGAAGUCUUGUUGUUCCUUGUCUUUGUCUAAUUAUCAGAUGAUACGACAUAAGAAUCUAUAUAAUUCACUUAAUCUAAGACCAACACCCUUAACUAAAAUAUUAAUAAAUUAAAUUGUUCUCACAAAAUAAUUUUAUUAUCAUCAAAAUAAGUAAAAAAGAUAGUUCUUCAAACCACUUUGAUUUUACCAAUACUUUCACAUAAUUGAUAUAAUCCAAAGUCUUAUUCUUGAUUCUCAACAAUAGCUGAGUCCUCAAAAGUUUUAUAAUAACAAAGUUGAAGAAGUUUCCCUCCAACAUAAUCUCCAGCAUCAAGUUUCAUUUUCAAAAAGUAUGAAAAUAUACCCAUGAAAAUGAGAUAGAAAAACACUCGAAAAAUCAAAAGGCCACACAAGAUGACAUCACAAUGUCAAACCCUGCUAACUUUGUUAUGUGUGCUCUUCAUGAAUUGCACCAUGCGGCAAAAAAGAAAAAAAUUGCAUUUAUAAUGGUCCAUGUGUUUUGAUGUGACCCCUACAGUCACACACACAAAUAAAAGGAAACCAACUACAAAACCUCACACUUACUCUCUAGUACUAUAUAGGUACAACAAAAGCCUCAUUCUCUAAAGUCUAAACUUCAUUUUCAUUCUUGUUUUCACACCCCCAUCUAAUUCCUCUUCAAAUGGCUCAGGUAUUUUCCCUUUCACAUCCUAAUUACUUUAAUUUAAUUUAAUUUAAUUUUCUUUACAAAAUCUUCCCUUCUCUUAGAUUCCUCAUUCACAUGUUCAUGCUUAAUUAGCUAUAUAAAUAUAUAUAUAUAUAAAUAUUAUAUUAAUUAUAAAUAUAUGUAUGUUAAGAGAAAUUAUUUAAAAUAUGUAUAUAAUUUGUAAUUUAAUUUAAUUUAAUUUAAUUUAAUUUUGUUCUUACUAUUUUUUUCAUAGCAGAAGAUUGUGUUAAAGGUGCUAACUAUGACUGAUGAUAAAACAAAGCAAAAAGCUAUAGAAGCAACUGCAGAUAUAUAUGGUAAGUCAUUUAACAAAAAUUGAAAAAAAAAUCAAAUUUUUAAUACAAAGAAUUUUUUUAAAUUUAUGGAAAUGAAUUUAUGUAACUAAUUAAGGGCUGAUCUAUUGAAUAAUUGUUGAUUUUGAUGAAUAGGGGUUGAUUCAAUUGUUGCAGAUGUAAAAGAACAGAAAUUGACAGUGAUUGGUCAAAUGGACACAGUGAAAAUUGUGAAGAAAUUGAAGAAAGUUGGAAAAGUAGAUAUUGUAUCUGUUGGUCCUGCAAAAGAAGAGAAGAAAGAAGAAAAGAAAGAAGAGAAAAAGGAAGAGAAAAAAGAAGAGAAAAAGGAAGAGAAGAAAGAGGAGAAGAAGGAAGAGAAGAAAGAGGAGAAGAAAUAAACAAAAUAAUUAUCAUCUAUUUUUUUUUUUUCAUUUACUUUCUUUUUGUAUUUUUUUUGGCAUAAUUUCAUAUAUUGAGCUGCAAAAAUGUUCAAGUUCUUUUCUAAGCAUUGAUUAAUCUUCAAUUACCAACAAGAAAAUGGGUUUUAAAUGAUGAGAAUAAUCAAAGAAAUUAAAGAAGAGUUAUUAUUAUUAUAAUUAUAAUUAUUUAAUUUUUUUUCUAGGAUUCUUCCAUUUUUCUCUUUUUCAUAUUUUUCGGUUUGGAAGCAAUUGAUAAGGUAAUUCAACUUUUAUUUUUGACUGGUGGUGUGAUAUAAUCUUCAACAUUAUUAUCAUGAAUUACCUAAAAAAAACAUUUGAUAACAAAAUAUUUUUUUUAUCCAUAAUUAAAAUAAUAAUAAAAAUCACAAUAAUAGUUACAAUAUCCUAAAAUUAAAUUCAAAAAUAUAAUAUUUAAUAUGACAAUUUCAUCGUAUGUAAGUUGAGUUACAUUUUACAACUAUAAAAAAACAUUAAAAUAUUAAAAAAAAUUGUUGUACGGAUGGUUAUAAAAUUUAUUUUAUUGAGUCACAGUGUUAGUUUGUUUUAUCUUUUUGUUAUAUUACGCAAAUGGUACACUUCAUGUGACUGUGAUAAGAUCGAUGCCAGUUGUUUAUGAUUGUGAACGAUUAAUUGUAAGAUCACUUUUUUCUUCUUUCCUUUCAAAAGUCUUUAAAAUAUAUUUCUUUAAUAAAUUUAUAUUUUACAGAAUUUUGAAAAAUAUAAAAGAGAAAAAACUCUUUAAAUGUAAAUAAAAUUGGUAGUAUUGUUUCUUUUAACCUUAUGGUUUGUACAGGAACGAAAUCUUGAUCGUUAUGAUAUAAUUUUGAGAUAAAUAAAAUUUGAUAAAUAAUUAUUUUGAUAAAAAUAAAAAUAUAUAUUUAUUCUUUACUAAAUUAUAAAAAAUUUUAGGAUUUUUUUACCAUUAUAUCUUUUUUUUUAAAUCAAAAUACCUUACUCCCAAUUUUAUAUAUUAAAUUGUCCUAUUUUUUGAGCUCAAUAGGAGGUCGCUGGCCCAUGGUACUACCAGCUGAAGGCAAAAAAAAUUCACCCAGUUGAGGUUGCUGGCCGAGGAUGCGACCCCCCAAAAGAAUCUUUAAUUAUUUUUUUCUUAUUUUAAUUGGGUUUAAUUGGUAAUAUAUUAAUAAAUAAUUAAAUUAAUAAAUAUCUGUCGAACAAUAUCUCCGUGAUCUCCGUUUGCAACCACCGUCAUAUCCUUCUGUUCUGUCGACCUCUCAAUCAAGCUCACAACAACAAAACAUAGCACAAACGUCUCUAUCAUCACGUCACCUACAUGUCCCUACUACAUAAGUUCCAUGUUAUGAUCCACCAACGACUCAGUACUACGUUCCGGUUCCAGAAAUACCAACCGCCGAUUAUCCGAGAGAAAGUGGACUUUUUCUAUAAUUUGUUUGGAACUCAGUGCACAACUCUUGAUUCGGCUUAUGUUGUGCUUGACUUCAUGUAUAAUAAUCAUCCGUCUCAAAAUUAUAUGAAAGCAGCUAGUAGUGGUUCUAAUCCACCUACAACUUACAUUUAGGAUAAUGAUCAGGAUGAACCAGAAGAACCUCAACUCUUUCAAAGAGCUAGACGAGUUCGACGAAAUCCUAGGUGUGAAACUGGAGGUCAUUUAGGUAGACAUUAAUAAAAUGUAUUUUUUUCCGUUAAUUUAGUGUAUUUUGUUUUAUGUUAAUUAAUGUAUUUCUUUUAAAUUUAUAAUAUAAUUUAUUAUUUUUAAUUAUAAUUAUUUUUAACAAUAACAAUAAUAAUAUAUUUAUUUAUUAUUAUUUAUUAUUAUUUAUUAUAAUCAUUUAAUAAUAAUAAUUUAUUAUUAUUAUUAUUAUUUAUUAAUGUAUUAUGUAAUAUAAUUAUUUAUUAAUUUAAUUAUUUAUUAAUAUAUUAUCAAUUAAAUCCCAAUUAAAACGAGCAAAAAAAAUAAAAAAUCCUUUUGGGAGGUCGCAUCUCCGACUAGCGACCUCCAACUGAGUGAAAACUUUUUUGCCUUCAGUUGGUCACACCCUGGGCCAACAACCUCCUAUUGGGCCCAAAAAGUAGAGUAAUUUAGUAUAUAAAACUGGGAGUGAGAUAUUUUGGUUUAAAAAAAGAAAAAGAUGAUAUAAUGGUAAAAAAUCCAAUUUUUUAAGUUUAAUUCUAAAAAAAAUUAAGGACUAAAAAUAUUAAUUUUGUACAAAAAAAAAUUCACAAUAAAGACUAAAGCUUAAUUAAAUUUUUUUUUUUUAAGAAUUACAAAGUUGAGAAUUUUUUAUAAAGACUAAAAUAAAAUUAUGAAAUUUUAUAGGGACUAAAAUUUAUUUAACACUAAAAAUUAUUAUAAAUAAUACUAUUUUAACACAAUAUAUGCCAAAAACUGUCGCCGCAAAACAAGAUUAAAAUCUCAACACUUGAGAGUUUAAUGUCCGAUCACAAAAAGCAUCUGGUUGUCUACAAAGUUGUAAAACAUGAUCAAACGCAUAAUAGGUUAAUGCACUAGAAAAACCCAACGCCUCCAAAAUUACAUUCGAAACCUUAUCAAAACAUGAAAUCAAAGAACCAAAAACACAUAACAUUGUGUGAGCGUUUUAAAUUUCAUGCUUAGCCAAGUUGUCGUUUAUAGGAAUUCUACUGUAAAACAAUCUCCAAACAAAGAGUGCAAAUUUCAACACUACAACCUUAUUCCAAAUGAAUGCAUGUGUAGGUGAUCUCUUACGGGUUGAAUUAGAGAUCAACAAGUUAUAAACACUUUUGACAAAAUACUCGUCAUUAAGUUUAGGUAACUAGGUCCAUCUACCAAGAACACUUCUUGCACUAAAACAUUAGACAACAAUCCUUGAACAUCUCAUCUUUCCAAACAAACAAAUGUCUCAUCCAAUGCCAACCUUUACCCUUAACUCACCACCAUUUUCUAGUUAUCUCCACAACAAUCACAUUUUUAUCACAUACUAGCCCAAACAAUCUAUUAAAUCUCUCACAAAAAGCUUCGACCUUAAGCCAAUUGUCACUCCAAAAUGAAGUAUCAGUCCAAUUACCCACCACCCUACACAAAUUAUUAUUGAACAAACCCUAAUUAUCUAAUCCACAUUUUCACAAACACAAAUAAUAUCCUUCCACCAAAAAGAAAAGUACUAUUUAUUUUGCGCAACCACCCCAACACCCCUAUCCAUCCCAUAUAAUAUUCUCACCAUGAAACAUACUUCAAAGUUCAUCUAGAAUAGUGGAAAGAGACACGACAAAAGUAAGAGAGAAGCCACAAGGUUGAUCCAUUGUCUCGAGCAAUGUUACCCCUGUAGAGGAUGAGGUAAAGGGAAAGAUGAGAAUUUCUCUAUUAUUUAUAAAACCUCAAAGAACAUGAAUCAAAUAACAUUUUAUCAUUUAAAGACACUUAAACAACUUGGAAGAAUGUUUCCCAACACAACUCUUCAAAUGCCUGAAUUCAAAAUCAUCUCUCUCUCUCUCUCACGUGUGUAUCUGACUAGAGAGAAACCAAAAAUGACAAUAAACUCUAACAGUCAAAUUAACUUUGAUAGAAAAUUUUGACUUUUUGGGACCACACAAUACAUACCUUUAACACCUUGUUCCUCUUUUCCUCUUCCCUCAUUGUGAAGUCAACACUAACCACCACCGUCUUACAAAUCACCAUCGUCUCCACCACCACUAUCAUUUUGGUUCGUCUUCACAAUGAUGAUGAGGUUCAACCGUAUGUUACUACCUUGUUCCUCUUUUCCUUUUGUCGUCUGCACAUGGAUCAGUUAUCUAGUUUGAACAUGAAUAUGAAUCAAAAUUGAAUAACUCGAGAGCACAAUCGAAGUUUUAUAAUAUGGUUAAAAAAUCACAUAAAGUCAAAGUUAGAUGUAGACUCCAGAUCAAUUUCACAGAGACUGAGGUGGCUAGCAAAUGGUCCGAGUUUACAUGUCUUUUCUUACACCGGUUAUGUAAUUAACGGCUACACAUUUUAUACCAAAGAACAAGAUGAUCAAACCACUAUGCAAAAUAGUGGUGUCACUCUCGUAGUUGAAGCGAUGCAUAUCUCAAGUGCAAAAGACAAAAACCCAAUAUAUGCAAAUAUAUCAUAUUUUGGGGUUAUCGAGCGCAUAUGGGAGUUAGACUACACAAUGUUUCAUGUUCCCAUAUUUGGUUGCAAGUGGGUCGAUAAUAAUAAUGGCGUUCGAAUUGAUGAGUCAGGGUUCUUGCUUGUCGAUUUUAAUAGGGUGGGAUACAAAGAUGAGCCUAUUAUUUUAGCUUCGCAAGCUCAACAAGUUUUUUAUGUCAUUGAUCCUGCUGAUGGUAAAUGGUCUGUUGUCCUAUCGACCAAUAAAAUAAGUGAUGAUAACAAUAAUGAUGAAGAUGUUGGUAAUGAUCUUUUCUUUGCAACAUCACAACCACAUGAAAUUGAUUCAAUUGAUGAUGGUUUAUAUCUUAGAGAUGAUCAUGAUGAAGGAAUUUGGAUUAAUCCAUCGUUUCGUAUCGUUAAUGGACAAACAAAUGUGAAUCCCUACAGGAAAAGAAGAAGGGCAUCUUAAUGUAAUUUAAGUGUUUGACCUGCCAGAACUGAUUUUCUGCUUAUAUUGAACUUGAAAAAGCUUUGUUUGAGUACUGAGAAUUUUUCUUGAACUUUAAUUUAACUGAUCAUCCCAAUAUGAUCUGAUCAUGUAAUUUAGCAUUGAUAUAUAUAUAUAUAUAUAUAUAGGUAUUUUACUAAUUAUUUAGCAUUUUACAAAAACUGAACUUAUAUUGUAAUUUAACAAAAAUUGAUCAGAACAUAAACUUUGUAAUUUUACAGCGCUUUUGUCAAUAAGCGCUAUAAAAAGCCUUUAAAAAAAAUAAGGAGGUCACAUAUCGCUUGCACAUAAUAAAACAAAGAAGCCUUUUAAAGUGCUUUGUGGAAAAGCGUUGUAAAAGGGUCACAUAGCGCUUGCACAUAAUAAAACAAAGAAGCCUUUUAAAGUGCUUUGUGGAAAAGCGUUGUAAAAGGGUCACAUAGCGCUUGCACAUAAUAAAACAAAGAAGCCUUUUAAAGUGCUUUGUGGAAAAGCGUUGUAAAAGGGUCACAUAGCGCUUGCACAUAAUAAAACAAAGAAGCCUUUUAAAGUGCUUUGUGGAAAAGCGUUGUAAAAGGGUCACAUAGCGCUUGCACAUAAUAAAACAAAGAAGCCUUUUAAAGUGCUUUGUGGAAAAGCGUUGUAAAAGGGUCACAUAGCGCUUGCACAUAAUAAAACAAAGAAGCCUUUUAAAGUGCUUUGUGGAAAAGCGUUGUAAAAGGGUCACAUAGCGCUUGCACAUAAUAAAACAAAGAAGCCUUUUAAAGUGCUUUGUGGAAAAGCGUUGUAAAAGGGUCACAUAGCGCUUGCACAUAAUAAAACAAAGAAGCCUUUUAAAGUGCUUUGUGGAAAAGCGUUGUAAAAGGGUCACAUAGCGCUUGCACAUAAUAAAACAAAGAAGCCUUUUAAAGUGCUUUGUGGAAAAGCGUUGUAAAAGGGUCACAUAGCGCUUGCACAUAAUAAAACAAAGAAGCCUUUUAAAGUGCUUUGUGGAAAAGCGUUGUAAAAGGGUCACAUAGCGCUUGCACAUAAUAAAACAAAGAAGCCUUUUAAAGUGCUUUGUGGAAAAGCGUUGUAAAAGGGUCACAUAGCGCUUGCACAUAAUAAAACAAAGAAGCCUUUUAAAGUGCUUUGUGGAAAAGCGUUGUAAAAGGGUCACAUAGCGCUUGCACAUAAUAAAACAAAGAAGCCUUUUAAAGUGCUUUGUGGAAAAGCGUUGUAAAAGGGUCACAUAGCGCUUGCACAUAAUAAAACAAAGAAGCCUUUUAAAGUGCUUUGUGGAAAAGCGUUGUAAAAGGGUCACAUAGCGCUUGCACAUAAUAAAACAAAGAAGCCUUUUAAAGUGCUUUGUGGAAAAGCGUUGUAAAAGGGUCACAUAGCGCUUGCACAUAAUAAAACAAAGAAGCCUUUUAAAGUGCUUUGUGGAAAAGCGUUGUAAAAGGGUCACAUAGCGCUUGCACAUAAUAAAACAAAGAAGCCUUUUAAAGUGCUUUGUGGAAAAGCGUUGUAAAAGGGUCACAUAGCGCUUGCACAUAAUAAAACAAAGAAGCCUUUUAAAGUGCUUUGUGGAAAAGCGUUGUAAAAGGGUCACAUAGCGCUUGCACAUAAUAAAACAAAGAAGCCUUUUAAAGUGCUUUGUGGAAAAGCGUUGUAAAAGGGUCACAUAGCGCUUGCACAUAAUAAAACAAAGAAGCCUUUUAAAGUGCUUUGUGGAAAAGCGUUGUAAAAGGGUCACAUAGCGCUUGCACAUAAUAAAACAAAGAAGCCUUUUAAAGUGCUUUGUGGAAAAGCGUUGUAAAAGGGUCACAUAGCGCUUGCACAUAAUAAAACAAAGAAGUCUUUUAAAGCACUUUGUGAAAAAGCGCUGUAAAAAGGUCACAUAGCGCUUGCACAUAAUAAAACAAAGAAGCCUUUUAAAGCGCUUUGUAGAAAAGCACUGUAAAAGGGUGCUUGCACAUAAUAAACACAAAGAAGUCUUUUAAUGCACUUUGUGGAAAAGCAUUGUAAAAGGUUGCGUGCACAUAAUAAACACAAAGAAGCCUUUUAAAGCGCUUUGUGGAAAAACGCUGUAAAAGGCUUUUUAAUAAAAUAAAAUAAAAUAAGGAGGUCUUUUACAGCGUUUUUUAGAGUUUUAUAUAUAACAAUAAACCGCUUCAGUUUUCUCUUCAUACACUUGUAGUGGGGUUUCAUAUAUAACAGUAAACUUCAUACGUUUGUUUCCUCCUCCUCUUCAUUCUCCUUCUCAUUGCGAACCCUACGAACAAUAUUGCCUUGUUACUAGCCCUCAUUACGUAAACUUCAUAUAAUUGUUUACUCUUCAUUCUCCUUGUCACUGCGAACCAUCUUUGUUUAUGCGAGCCCUACUCUCCAUUACGUAAACUUCAUACGCUUUUCCUCUUCAUUCUCCUUGUCAUUGCGAACCAUCUUUGUUUCUGCGAACCCUACUCUCCAUUACGUAAACUUCAUAUGCUCGUUUCUGCGAACCCUACUCUCCUACGAAUAGUCCGUAUUUCUGCGAUGUUCUUCUUUGCUCGUAUUUCUGCGUCGUAACUCUAUUGUUAUUCUGUUUUUCAGGUAUUGUAUUUAUUAGUUUUUUGUUUCACGAAAAUGCAUGUUGAACUUAUACUGCUAUCGAUGCCCAAAUAUUUUUUGACUUAUAUGUUUUAUUUUAUAGUGCCCUCGUCAAACUAACAACAUCGAAUGUGGAUACUAUAUAUUGCGAUUCAUGAAGGAGAUUGUUGAUAUGAAUCAAACUAUAAUCCCAGAAACGGUACAAUAUUUUCAUUAUUUGAUUUUCAUAUAUAAACUAUGUAUAUAUUUGAUUCUAACUUAUUUAUGUUCAAUUUUUAUAUCGCACAGUACUUUGACAAUUUCAGUCCAACAUACUCUGAAAGAGAUCUAAUUGAAAUAAAGGAAGACUGAUGUUAGUAUGUGAUUGAAAUGAAAAUUAUUUGAUUUGCUGGGAAAUGACAUGUUGCAAGGGAUAGUUAUAUGAAUAUAUGGUAGUCCUGUUUUGUGUAGUUCUGAUAGUUAUAUGUAUAUGAAUAUGGCACAUUUGAAAAGUUGUGAAUAUGUAGUGAUAUGAAUAUGUAUAUAGUUAUGUGUUGUUGGUAAUAUGUGAAUAUGUAUAUGAAUAUGUUGUGAACUGAUUGUGUAAAUAUGUAAAGUUAUAAAGUUAAAUCAUAAAGUUAUAUAAUUCAGUUGUUGUGUACUGAUCGUGUACUGAUUGUGAAAUGAUUGUGUGAACUGAUUCUGGAUGAAAAUGAUUUUGGAAAAAAAAUUAAAAGACAACGCUGUAAUAGGUGCAUAAUAAUGCAUCUAUUGAAUGCACCUUUUACAACGCUUUUUCAAAAAAGCGUUGUAAUAGGUGCAUAAGAAUGCAUCUUAUGAAUGCACCUUUUAUAGCACUUUUUGGAAGAAGAAAAAACGCUGUAAUAGGUGCAUAAUAAUGCAUAUAUUUUAAUGCACCUUUUACAACGUUUUUUCAAAAUAGCGUUGUAAUAAGUGCAUAAUAAUGCAUCUAUUGGAUGCACCUUUUACAGCGUUUUUUCCAAAAAGCGUUGUAAAACGAGUAUAACAAGUGCGCAAUAUAUCUACCUAUUUUAUAGCGCUUUUUAUUUUAAAAAACAUUGUUGUAUGUUUUUACAACGUUGGAUGCUACAACGCUUGUUUUUUUGAAAAAAUGUUGUAAAUGGCUUAAAAAAAGCGCUGUAAAAUAGGUUUUUUCGUGUAGUGUCCCUUUCUAAUUAGAUACACCCGUGGGAGUGAGAAAAAGACACAUCAAAUAUCAUACAAUUGUCCAUGUCAGCAAAUUAACAAAAUUAACAACAUAGUUAACCUCAUAGACUAGACUAAUUGACAUUUGAGUUUUUUACCUAAGGCUAGGGCUGGACAAAAGAGAUGGGCUCGCUUUAUACCGCCCGGCCCGCAGCAGGUGAAGUAAACUGGGCCGGUUGGAUCGGACCUAAUGGGUCACACGGGUACAGUUAAAGGGUUCAAUAGAGUAGAUUCGGGCGGGUUCGGGUUAUGAAUUUUGGACCGGCGGUGACCGACCUGCCCGAUAACAGUUUAUAAUAAUUAUUAGUAAGUGUUGGACUGGGUCUAAUAAAUCCAAUUUAAUUUGGCCCAAUAUUAUAACUCAACCCUAACCCUAAUUUUAAUCAGUCUCACAAUUCCACCCACAGCUCAUUCUCUCGUCAUCAUCCUCUCACGAACCCUAUUCUUCACACCAGCAAACCCUAAUUUCUUCAAGCCUCAACGGCGGCCAACGAUGGUCAGUGGCGGCCACAUCCACUCUAGGUUAUCACUUUAUCUCUUAUUUCUCAACUCUCUAACCUUUUUCGUUCCAAACUUUAUAAUCUCGUUUUUCAAAACUGUCUUUUUUAGUUUUUGUUGUUUUAAAUCGAUUAGUUUCGUCUUAGUUUCAUUUUUUAUUGUUAGUUUCGUCUUUGUUGUUAUAAACAUUUUCCUCUUUGUUAGCAUUUUCAAUCUCGUGUUAAAAAUAGCAUUUUUCAUCUUUGUUAUUUUAAACAUGUUCAUCUUUUUCUAAUUUAUUUUGCAUUGUGUUAGGGUUUUUAUUUUUUUUUAUUAUAAUUAGGAUUUUGAUUUAACUAUUGUUUCUGUUUUUGGAUUUUCUAGAGUUUGGUUUUUUUGUUUUUGCAUGUUGUUUUAUAUAUUAGAUUUUUCAAUUUUCUUAAGUAUAAUGUGUUAUUAUGUAGUAAUCUGCCUCACCUUAACAUGCAGUUUGUCGUGUUCUUAACUCUAUUAUUUGUCCUACUAAUUGUUUGUCCUCAUCUUAAAUUAUUUGUUUUAAUUAUUAGAUUUUGGUUUGUUUUAUUACUGUUAAGGCAAAAAAUCCAUUAUGUCUAAUUUUCCACAUUAAUCCUUACUUUUUAACUUUCUAUUAUGUUCUUAAUAUUGUUGUUGUCUUCAAUAUACAUCAUGAUAACAAAUCUUUUAAGUAUAUUAUUUUGUUUUAUAUGGCAGGGUUAGGUUUUGAAAUUGAAAUUACUUUUUGCAUUGUUAGCAAAUAGAUUAAUCAAUUAAGAAAAAUCUAUUUUCCUUUGAGAUUAUAAGCUCUAAAUAGUUGCUGUUAAUUUGUAUCAGACUCUUUGUUUCUUGUUUUGAAUUGAAGAAUGUGUCAUGUGCAUUUUCUUAGUUGUUUUGUUGUAUGCUAACCAUGAUUAGAAAGUACAAACAUUUUCUGUUAGUUGAUACUUUCUGUUUCAAUCACUACCUUUAGACAUCUCUUAUUUGUAGUAUCAAAACUUUACUAGUAUAAUGCCAUGAUUCACUUGGUAAUUUUAUCAUUUAUAUACUCAUGACAAUACAAUUUGUUAAAUUAUUAUCCCUUAAUACUUCUCUUUUUAGUACAUCCAAUUUAAUUUUCCAUCACCUUGAAACCUUGUAGUUCCUCUAGGUAGAACAUUUGAUAUUUGAUAAUUUAUGCUCUUUCUGACCAACAUUUGACAUUCAUACUCUUAUUAUUUUUUUUUUUUUGGUAUGAUGUAGAAAAACAAAACUGUUUUUUAGUUAUUAGAUUUGUUGCUAUUAUUUCAUAUAACUAAUUUAUUUUUAUUCUUGUUGUUUCAUUUUCUCUACUUAUUGGAUCUCAUAUCUUCAAGGUAAAUAUUAUUUUAUUUAUUUUUUCUUUGAUUUUGUGCAUACUCUAGAGUUUCAAUAUUCUGAUUUUUGAAUUCAAACUCUAAUUUCCAACUCUAAUAAAUAUUCAUAUCUAGAAAACUCUAAUAUGCAUAUUAUGAUAUUUAAAUAUUCUGGUAUGAAUUCAAACUCUGAUGUCUAGAUAUGAAUAAUUAUUAGAUAUGAAUAUUAUGAUUUUUUCCCAAAAUACUUUCUAGAGUUUGACUUUUUAAUUAUUAGAUAUGAAUCACCCCUUUUUGAUAUUCUGGUUGUGGUAAAUUAUUAGAUAUGAAUAUUCUGAUUUUUUCCCAAAAUACUUUCUAGAGUUUGACUUUUUAAUUAUUAGAUAUGAAUCACCCCUUUUUGAUAUUCUGGUUGUGGUAAAUUAUUAGAUAUGAAUAUUCUGAUUUUUUCCCAAAAUACUUUCUAGAGUUUGACUUUUUNNNNNNNNNNNNNNNNNNNNNNNNNNNNNNNNNNNNNNNNNNNNNNNNNNNNNNNNNNNNNNNNNNNNNNNNNNNNNNNNNNNNNNNNNNNNNNNNNNNNNNNNNNNNNNNNNNNNNNNNNNNNNNNNNNNNNNNNNNNNNNNNNNNNNNNNNNNNNNNNNNNNNNNNNNNNNNNNNNNNNNNNNNNNNNNNNNNNNNNNNNNNNNNNNNNNNNNNNNNNNNNNNNNNNNNNNNNNNNNNNNNNNNNNNNNNNNNNNNNNNNNNNNNNNNNNNNNNNNNNNNNNNNNNNNNNNNNNNNNNNNNNNNNNNNNNNNNNNNNNNNNNNNNNNNNNNNNNNNNNNNNNNNNNNNNNNNNNNNNNNNNNNNNNNNNNNNNNNNNNNNNNNNNNNNNNNNNNNNNNNNNNNNNNNNNNNNNNNNNNNNNNNNNNNNNNNNNNNNNNNNNNNNNNNNNNNNNNNNNNNNNNNNNNNNNNNNNNNNNNNNNNNNNNNNNNNNNNNNNNNNNNNNNNNNNNNNNNNNNNNNNNNNNNNNNNNNNNNNNNNNNNNNNNNNNNNNNNNNNNNNNNNNNNNNNNNNNNNNNNNNNNNNNNNNNNNNNNNNNNNNNNNNNNNNNNNNNNNNNNNNNNNNNNNNNNNNNNNNNNNNNNNNNNNNNNNNNNNNNNNNNNNNNNNNNNNNNNNNNNNNNNNNNNNNNNNNNNNNNNNNNNNNNNNNNNNNNNNNNNNNNNNNNNNNNNNNNNNNNNNNNNNNNNNNNNNNNNNNNNNNNNNNNNNNNNNNNNNNNNNNNNNNNNNNNNNNNNNNNNNNNNNNNNNNNNNNNNNNNNNNNNNNNNNNNNNNNNNNNNNNNNNNNNNNNNNNNNNNNNNNNNNNNNNNNNNNNNNNNNNNNNNNNNNNNNNNNNNNNNNNNNNNNNNNNNNNNNNNNNNNNNNNNNNNNNNNNNNNNNNNNNNNNNNNNNNNNNNNNNNNNNNNNNNNNNNNNNNNNNNNNNNNNNNNNNNNNNNNNNNNNNNNNNNNNNNNNNNNNNNNNNNNNNNNNNNNNNNNNNNNNNNNNNNNNNNNNNNNNNNNNNNNNNNNNNNNNNNNNNNNNNNNNNNNNNNNNNNNNNNNNNNNNNNNNNNNNNNNNNNNNNNNNNNNNNNNNNNNNNNNNNNNNNNNNNNNNNNNNNNNNNNNNNNNNNNNNNNNNNNNNNNNNNNNNNNNNNNNNNNNNNNNNNNNNNNNNNNNNNNNNNNNNNNNNNNNNNNNNNNNNNNNNNNNNNNNNNNNNNNNNNNNNNNNNNNNNNNNNNNNNNNNNNNNNNNNNNNNNNNNNNNNNNNNNNNNNNNNNNNNNNNNNNNNNNNNNNNNNNNNNNNNNNNNNNNNNNNNNNNNNNNNNNNNNNNNNNNNNNNNNNNNNNNNNNNNNNNNNNNNNNNNNNNNNNNNNNNNNNNNNNNNNNNNNNNNNNNNNNNNNNNNNNNNNNNNNNNNNNNNNNNNNNNNNNNNNNNNNNNNNNNNNNNNNNNNNNNNNNNNNNNNNNNNNNNNNNNNNNNNNNNNNNNNNNNNNNNNNNNNNNNNNNNNNNNNNNNNNNNNNNNNNNNNNNNNNUGCCACAAUUUACAAUACCGUCUAGACGAACUGUAGCUAGGGAUAGUUUUCAAUUGUUUAUGGAGGAAAAAGUAAGGUUGAAAGCUUUUUUUAAGUCUGAUUGCAAUAGGGUAGCUCUUACAACAGAUUGUUGGACUUCAAUUCAAAACCUUAACUACUUGACCCUUACGGCACACUUUGUUGAUAAUGAUUGGAAUUAUCAGAAAAGGAUUAUUAGUUUCACAGUAAUUCCAAAUCAUAAGGGUGACACAGUUGGUAAGAAGAUUGAAGAGGUUUUAAAGGAUUGGGGGAUUCGAAAUGUGUCAACUAUAACCGUUGAUAAUGCAUCAUCCAAUGAUGUAGUUGUUGCUUUUUUGAAAAAAAAGAUAAAUAAUAUGGAUGGUUUGAUGGGGGAUGGGGAACACUUCCACAUGAGGUGUGCUACUCAUAUUCUGAAUUUAGUUGUAACUGAUGGCUUGAAAGAAAAAAAUUUGGCAAUCUCUAGCAUUAGAAAUGCUGUUAGAUUUGUAAAAUCUUCACCUCAUAGGGCUGCCAAGUUUAGGGAAUGUGUUCAGUUAGCUGGAAUAUCUUGUAAAAAAUUGCUAUCUCUUGAUGUUUCAACUCGUUGGAAUUCAACCUACUUGAUGCUGCGGAGAAGUUUCAAGUAGCUUUUGGGAAGCUUGAGGUUGAGGAGUCAAGUUAUAAGGAUUUCUUUGGAGAAGUUGGUCCCCCAACUAGUUAUGAUUGGGAUAUAGCUAGGGCGAUUGCAACUUUUUUGAAGUUAUUUUAUGAGGCAACUAGAGUGUUUUCCGCCUCACAGCAUGAGAGUAUACAUGCAGCUUUUCACCAAUUGUCUAUAAUCUAUUGUGAGCUGCAAAAUGCCUAUUUGAAUUUGAACACCAUUUUUGCAAGUGUGGCUGAGGAUAUGUUAGCAAAAUAUGAUAAGUAUUGGGGUAAUAUUGCAAACAUUAAUAAGUUGCUAUAUUUUGGGGUAAUUUUUGAUCCACAGUAUAAGUUGAAAUAUGUUGAGUGGUGCUUUCAAGAUAUGUAUGCAACUAAAUNNNNNNNNNNNNNNNNNNNNNNNNNNNNNNNNNNNNNNNNNNNNNNNNNNNNNNNNNNNNNNNNNNNNNNNNNNNNNNNNNNNNNNNNNNNNNNNNNNNNNNNNNNNNNNNNNNNNNNNNNNNNNNNNNNNNNNNNNNNNNNNNNNNNNNNNNNNNNNNNNNNNNNNNNNNNNNNNNNNNNNNNNNNNNNNNNNNNNNNNNNNNNNNNNNNNNNNNNNNNNNNNNNNNNNNNNNNNNNNNNNNNGGAUAUUAUUCUAGUAAGUGUGUGAAGAUGAGUGAAAAAUUUGAUAUUCUUGCUUGGUGGAAAUGUAACGCAACUCAGUACCCAAUCUUAUCUCUUAUAGUCAAAGAUAAUUUGGCUAUACCGGUGUCUACAGUUGCUUCUGAAAGUGCUUUUAGUACUGGUGGGAGAGUAAUUGAAACCUUUAGAAGCUCUUUAAAGCCAGAAAUGGUUGAAGCAUUAAUUUGCACUCAGAAGCAUUAAUUUGCUUCUGGAUAUUAUUCUAGUAAGUGUGUGAAGAUGAGUGAAAAAUUUGAUAUUCUUGCUUGGUGGAAAUGUAACGCAACUCAGUACCCAAUCUUAUCUCUUAUAGCCAAAGAUAUUUUGGCUAUACCGGUGUCUACAGUUGCUUCUGAAAGUGCUUUUAGUACUGGUGGGAGAGUAAUUGAAACCUUUAGAAGCUCUUUAAAGCCAGAAAUGGUUGAAGCAUUAAUUUGCACUCAGAAUUGGCUAAAACCUUCACUCACUUGUUUCAAAGACUUAAAUCUUAGUGAAGAUGUUGAUAUUUCUGAAGAAAUUAUUAAAGGUAAAAUUAUUUAUGUAUCUUUUAACUGUUUGAACUUUCUAAUAUAUUUAUAUGUUCAUAAUAUAGUUUAAUGUUUAUUAUUUUGUUAAUUAUUUCAGAGUUUCAAGGAAUGUCAGUUGGAAAGGCAAAUACUACAGGUGGAUCAUCAUCACAGCCACCUAGUUGUGGUUGAAUAAAAUUAUUGUAUGUAAUAUUCCUUUUUAUUGUUACUAAUUUGAAAUGAUUUUGUCAAUAUUGUGUUAGUACUAACUAAUUCUGCCAAACUUUUCAGAUUUAGACUUUUUUGAAUUUUUUGAAGUCGCACAAUCUUAAGGCAAAUACUGACUUGGCUCUAUGACAAUAUCAACACAAAGUUUUUGGGAUUUGUAUAAACUGUUGUUAUGCCUGGUAAGUUAUUAUCGUUAUAUCUUAUUGUUAUUUUAAUUGCCAAAAAUUGUUACUAACCAAAAUUGUAAGUAGCUACAACACAACUGUUACUCUGUUAGGAAUCUAAACUGCACGUUAUAGAUAUAUGUUAGCAUAUAUUAGCAUUUCUGUGAUAAGAAAGAACAUAAGAUUAAUUUGUUAUUCUUAUAUAAUUACCCUUUUAUUUUCCAACAGCUGGUGCAUUAGAUUCUGAGACUGAUUUUGCUGCAAGUCAUAGAAAAACAAGUGUUUUAUCAUAUGUAUGUUACCUUUUAUCUUUAGUCCAUUGUGAACUAUUAGAAUUUUAUUUUUAAUAAAAUUAAAGUACUGAGUAUGAAUAUUGAUUCUGUAGGUUGCAGGAGUUCUUGCAGAUUGCUUGGUGUUAAAUCUUUAUUUAACAUUAGCUAAGUUAGUAGCAACAAUUUAUAUUAUUGUGAACAACAUAUAUUGGUAUGUCAACCUGAUUUCUUAGUUUGAUCUUAUUGUUGAUUCAAAAUGAAUGAUCUAAUAAUGUUGAUUGCAUUAUUUGUUAUUCAAACUAGGCUGCUAUCAAGUCUGGAAUUUCUUAGUUUGGCAUUAUCAAGUCUGAAAUUUUUUGAUUUUGAUUGCAAACAGGUAUUGAAUUAUUUUUUCUAUGGUACACAUCAACAACAUAUUUUUACAUUGGUUAUUGGAUACUAAUUUUUGCUCUAAUUUUUUAGGUUGGCAAUUGGAAAUAUAUAUUGAUAAUUGUAUUGUCAUAGAGUCAAUUAAAACUAUCAAUAUUUUCCAAGAAGUGUGUAUUAAUAUUAGACUUUAGUGUUAUGUGAAUGUAGUUGAAAAACUAAGUUGUUAUAAUCUAUUGUUGAAUAACUAGGUUGUGACAAUCUGUUGUUGAAAAACUAUGUUGUGAUAAUCUGUUGUUGAAAAACUAAGCUGUUAUAAUCUGUUGCUCUGAAAAACUAAGCUGAUAUGUGAAUGUAUUAAUAUUAAUAUUAUGUGAAUGUACUUGAGUUGUUGAAAAAUUAAGCUGUUAUAAUAUGCUGGACUUGAAAAACAAUGAUUGUGUUAAACUUUUAGCUGUAAUAUGUUGGAUUUGAAAAACAAGGAUUGUGGAAAACUUUUAGUUGUAAGCUGUUGUAUUUGUAUGUUAUGUGAAUGUAGUUGUAAACUGAGUUGUUGUAGUUGUAAGUUGUUGCAUUAUAGGAAUAUAAUUGUAUGUUAUGUGAAAGUUAGUAGCCUAAUUUUAAAAAAAAAAAUGAGUACAAAUUUUAUCUUUAAAUGGCUCAAAAGUGGUCUUAUAUUGGAUAAUAAACUACUACUUUGCUAAGAAAUAAAAAAAAAUAGUUAUUUUGAUAAAUAUGUUAUUGGGUCAAAAAAAUUUGAAUGGCUAAAAAAAAAUUGAAUGGCCCAAACAAUGAUUCAACCCGGAUGUAACCACCCGAUUAACCCGCAAUGCGUUUAACCCGCAACCCGGAUACCCGAAUUUUAUAUUGAAGGAAAAUGAGCUUGUAAUGUUCAACCGCGGAUUGGCCCGGUUGGUGUUUUUGGGCCCGAAUCCGCCCUACCCAACCCAUUGUCCAGCCUUACCUAAGGCAUAUACUAAAGUAACAACACCAUUUACAAUCACAUACCAAAAUAGUGGUUUAUGCGUUGAAAAAUAAUUUCUUUAUUCGAAUAUUUAAUGGUUGUAAUGAUUUAAUUAAAAAAAUUCUUCUGCAUCACGAAAUUCCUUCUAUUUGUUUGUGUUGUGGGUCAUCUUCAUUUCCUUAACGUCAAUGGCUCCAAAUUCCAAAAGAGAUUACGUAAAAAAAAAAAAGUCCAAAAGAGAUAGCGAAUUUAUUUUUUUAAAUAAAUAAAUAAAUAAAACAGUGAGAAGUAUUUUGUGCAGACAACAUUUGUUGUCAAAAAAUUUUGGGAGGGACAUGAGAUGAUCGUGCACAAGUACAACUUUGCUUGAUCAGCAAACCAUUUUAGCCACAUCCAGUCAAUUAUUAUACGUUGUUAAUGAUAAAUUGAUUAUUAAAUAUUUUUUAUAUAAAAUAUAAUUAAAUGAGUAUUUUAUUAAUUUUUUAGUUUUUAAAUAUGUUUUUUAUUAGUAAAUUUAAUUUUUAAAUCUGUUUUUUAUUAAUCAAUUUGGUCUACAAAAUUAAUAUUAAAAUAAAAUUUUAAUAAUAUAUUUAAUUUCAAUAUAGUGAUUGCAAUCUGAUACAUUUAAGAAACUAAAAUAACACUUUACUUUUGUAUAAAUAUUAAAGUUUUAGUUAAAGUCCUAUGAAUAAAGUAAAGUAUCAUUAGAGUUUGUGUAGAUAAAAGCUGUUUCUUUAAUAUUUAGUAAUCUGUUUUGGUCUUUAUUAUUUUGUUUUUUUUAAAAAAAAUAUAUAAUAAUAAAUCUCAAAAAGACUAAAAAUAAAAUAUUUAAAAAAAAUUGAAAUUUUGCAUAAAAUUAAAGGUUAUAAAGGUGAUCUAAAGUAGACCUAAAUUAUGGUCAGAGUUGUAGAAACACAUAAAAAAUGACGGUAUAAUUUAUCAUAGGGGUUAAAUAUAUACAUGUACUUUGACAAUUAAAUUAGUUUAUAUUAAAAAAAAUUCAUAUUAGAAUAUUGUAUACUAUUAACCUCCGUCAUAUAUCUUUUUAAUAGAACGUACUUUACAAUUUUUAAAAACACUAUUAUGUGGUGACAAAAAAAUGUCUAUGCAAAUUCUAAUGAUCCCUCACAUUGAAUUCUCUUUGAUAUGCUAUGAUCCCUAAUUCAAUGAUUAUUUAGGCUUGAGUCCAAUUCAGAGUAGACUCGUCAUGAGUUUGGUCCAAAACAAAAACUCUUAACAAAUAAUUGAUUUUGUGUUAUAUUCAAUUAAUAAUUGGCUUUAAGAGGUUAGAAAUGGUGAUUCAUCAUAAUGACAAAGUUCCAGCUAAACAAUGUCGUAUACUCCACAAAUUUAUUUAUGAAUAUGCAAUAAUAAGCCACUUAAAUGGGUAUACCAAACAACCACUAAUCCACUCUAGUGCUAUACUUCCUCUAACUUUAUUUAAAAGUAAAAAGUAAUCAAAUAAAUUUGAUGUAUUUAAUCUUAAUUUUAAAAUAAAUAUAUAAAAAAAAUUAAUUUAUUUUUAUUUAUAAAUAAAAUCGGAAAGAGUAUGUAUCAUAAUAUAUUUAUAUUUUGAUUCAUAUAGAUAGACUUCUAAUAAUUAUGAUUGAAAGUUUCAUUUUUAUUCAAAUUAUGAUUGAUAUAUUAAAGUUAAAUAAUUGAAGGUCUUGAGUUUAAACUGGGUAAAGAAAAAAAAAUUAACAUAUCAACUAUAUAUUAUAACAUAUUAGCAUUUUAUCGUAAACAUAUUAACAUAUUAGUAUUUGGUUAUUUUAAAAAUUUUUUUACACUCUUUUAGCAAAAAUAAUAAUACAUUUUACAGUCAUUUUUUAUUUCUAUUAAAUCCGACAAUAAAUAAAGAUAAAUUUAUCAAAAGUGAAUUUCGAAGAAAUUAAAGAAUUUUUAUUUUGAGUAGAAUUUUUAACGUUAAAAAAUUGUUUCAUGAAAGUUCAAGUUUUGACAAUAUAUCAACUUUACAAAUGUAUCAAUGUUUUUCAUCAAAAUUAGUUUAUGUGAUAAGAAAUUAACUUUGUAACAUAUUGUCAAUGAUUUUUCAUCAAAUAUCAACUAUGGACCACAACACAAUGAAAAAGAAGUUGGAAGAAUUUAACUGAAUGGAAUUGAAAAGCUUACUUGUCUUAUAGUUUUAAUGCUGCUUAUUUUAGUGAGUUUUAUGGUCCGACUGGACCAGAAGCUUCUCAGGUUCAAGCAUUUACAUCCAAGAAAAGAUGUUUUUAAAAUAAGUAAAAAGUAAAGCAAUAAAAUGUAAUUGGCAAGAAAAGUUAAAUUGUGUGAAUUUUAAAAAAUAUAGUAAGUUAGACAUCAAAGAAGAUAGAAUGUGAGUUUAUGGGUAAGAGUUUCAUAUUAUAAUUUUAAAUAAUAUAAUUCAAAUCGCGUAUGAGACCGUUGUAAAAUAAUUAUUAGUGUUAGUCUUAUUAAUAAUAACUUUAAAAAAUAUUAUAAAUAUAAUUUUGAUCAUUCUAUUUUGCUCAAAAUAAACUUAUAAUCCCCUCAUUUUUAAAGUUGUUUGGUCUCUUAUUAACUAAUUCUUUGAAUUAUUUUGGUCCCCCACUUUUUUUUUUUGACAACGUGGAACUCUCAUUAAUUAUUUGGUACUUACAUGACAUUCAUGAGAAUAUAUAUUUUUUUAUGUCAUUAUUUUUGUAAUGCAUAUGAUUUUAUUUACAUAAUGAAAUAUUAAAAAUCAUUUUAUUUAUUUAUAAAUUAAAAUACUUAAGUUUUAAUUUUAGAAUUGAAAAUAUUAAAAUAAUAAAAUAUUUAUAAUUUAUUUAUUUUAUUUAACAUAAAUUAAUAUUUUAUAAUAUUUAUACAAAAUAAAUAAAAUUUAUUUAUUUUAAUUUUAAUACUUAAGUUUAUUAAAUUUUUAAUAUUAUAUAAUAUUUAUUUUAUUUAUAUAUUAAAAUAUUAAAAAUAAAUUUAUUUUAUAUAUAAACUAUAAUAUUUAAAUUUAAGAUAUUUGAAAAAUUAAUACUAAAAUUUGAACCUUUAAAUAUAAUAUUAAAUUUACUUAUUUUUAUCAAAAAAUUAUUUAAAAUUAUUUAAAAUUUUAUUUAUUUUAUAUUUAAUAUUUUCAUUUAUAAAUAGAUAAAAAUAAAGUUAAUUACAAUAAUAACAUGAUUGCCACAUAAUAAAAAAUAGUGGGGGACCAAAGGAUUCUAAUAAUUAAUUAAUAGGAGGAUCAAAAAAUUAAUUUUAUACAUAAGGAGGCUAAAGUUUAUUUUUGAUAAACUAGAGGGACACAAUAUACAUUUAAGCAUUAAGAAAAACGAGUGUAAAUAAAUUUUAAAAAUAAAUGUAGUAGUUAUAUAAAAAGAGUAUGUAUUUAAAGUGCAAAAAAAAAAAAGAAUUUGAAGAGCAGAAAAGAAUAGACAAAUUUAAAAUGUACAGUGAUAAAUAUAAAGUACUUUUUUAUAUCAAAUAAUUUGGUGGCUAGACUCGCACAUCUUAACAUCUUAAAUGUAGAGAAGUGAUAAUCUCAAGUUUGAAUCCAAGUUAUUACAUAUCAAUAUCCUUGCAUUUAUCAACUGAAUCGUAUUUACAGAAAAGAAAAAGACAAAAGAAGAUUUAAUAUUGAUACCCGUCUGCACCCACUAAUAAUUUUAUAAUGUUUUUAAAUUUGUAUAUACAUAUGAGGAUUCAAUAUUCAAACCUAGAGUUUAGGCAUGGCAACGGGGUGGGGCGGAGACGAAUUUGGCCUCCUCCACUCCGUACCCGACUAAUCGCGGAAAACCCGCAUCCACCUCAUUUCAUAGCAGGUGUAAAAUUUAAGCCAUAUCCCCGUCUAUAAUGGGGUUCGAAUUUCUCCGCUCACAUCCACACCGAUUCAUAUAUAUAAAAUUAUAAAUUUAAAAUUCUUAUCUAUUAUCAUUAAUAUAAUAAAAUAAUUAUUAUUAGACAAUAAUAAAAUUAAAAAAUAUUUAGCACCCAAAAGUAAUUCAUUGAGAAUUCCAAAUUUUUCUUUAAAUUAUUUUUCGAUAAUUCAAGUCUAAAUAAAAACAACUAAGAUAAAUCACGUUUCUAAAUACAAUACAAAUAAAAUAAAUCACAUAUAUUUUUUAAAAUCUAUAAGAUUUCUAAAAAUUCAUUCAUAUUUUAAUCAUCAAAAACACAUUUUUAAAUAGUUCAUCACUGUAAAAAUUAUUAUUUUCAACUUAUAUUUUGAAAUAAAAUUUAAACUAUAUAUAUAAAUAGAUAGGAAAUUUUACAAUUAAUUAACACUUCCAAAAUAGUUCCAAAUUAUUUUCUUAUUUUCUCAAACUUACAAAAAAAAAAUUGUAUAUAUAUACAUUAAAGUAGUGCACGUGACACAAAACAUAAGACAUAUGAUAAUGAGAAUGAAUUACACUAAUUCAUAAAUCUACAAAAUAGUACCCUCCUCUCACACUAACUACUUGACAUGCUUAUAGAUACAUCCCUCAGUUUCAAUCAAGCCACAAAAUUGGUCCAAAACAUAACACACCAUCAAUUUUAAAGAUUUUCGAGUUCUAUUCUAAUCUUAAAAAUUGAGUAUCAAAUAAAAAUUGCAAUUUUAUAAUUAAUAAAAAAUAUUGAUAAAAUAAAUUUUAGUUUCUAUAUGCAUACCAAUCUACAUGAGACACUCUACACAUAUCAAUCUACAUGAUGCACUCUACACAUACCAAUCUAAUGCAUACCAUUUUGUUAGGUUAAUUCAUAAUAAAAAAAAUUCUACUUGUAAAAUACAUCAAUUAUAGAAUCCAAAAUUUAGAUAACUUUUCAAAAGGAAUUUCACUAUUGAGAAGAUUUUUAAAAACUCUAUUUUUUUUUCCCUUCUUUUUACUUCUCUUUCUCAAUUAGUAUACAUUUUAUGAUUAGUACUAUUGUAAAUCACUGAAGAGUUCUUAAACUCUAAAACUCUAACAUCGAGUCGAACUCUAAUGAGUUCAUAAUAUCAUAAUCAGAAAAUCAAACAUUUUAAAUAAAUAUCCCAACACCCUUACGGUUCAAUAUCCACACCAGCCCCUAAACCAAGAUAAUAACAACUGUUUUUAAUUUUCUUAAAAACAAUACCUAGUAAAACAUAUUGUAAACUUUAAGCUGUUUUAAACAUUAAAUAAAAUCAAUAGCAUAUAAUUAUUGUUAUUUUAUAAAUCAACAAAAAUUCAACUCAAUUUAUUUUCUUUAAAAUAAUCAAGAGUAAUUCAAACAAAAGUUAUUUUCAUCAUACAAAAUAAGUAAAUUUUAACUCCUUCAAAAUUCAUUUUUAAAAAAUUCGAAGUUCUACCAACCUCUAAUAUUCAAGAAUUACUAUUGCUAAUAAUAUGAAUUUCAUACUAUCUAAAUCAUGACGAACAUUCUAAAUUGUUUUCAAAACCAAUAUCAAAACUCUACUCAUCUAGAUACAACCAUCAACACUUUCAAGUGAUUUAAAGUUAACAUUAUGAUUUAAAAUUGAUUUUUUUUUAACACAAGCCAACAUAAAAUAAAAGUAAUAGAUUUUUAGUCAAAAUUAAAACUUUAAACGUAAGAGAUAUAUUCCUAUCUAACUCAAAGUUUAGAACGAAACAUCAUUUUUUCUCUAAAUUGAGUUUCUAACAGAAUAAUAAUAAUUUGUACCUAGUAAAAGUCAAUACUUGAAGUUUUAAACAUAUAAUCCAUUCAGAAACCAAUGUUUCAAUCAAUUAUUUAUUAUAUCAAACGCUUUAAACAAAUAGAUAUCAAAACUAAAUAUUUUAACUUGAUUAAGGGUGAAAGUCAAACUUUUAAAACAACUAACUAGUAAGGUAUGGCAUUUGAUAACUAAGAUUACGUGAAUGAGAUUAAUAACUCGAAACAUACAGUUGGUCAAUCAAAAUUAUUACUUCCAACUAUUCGUAUACAACAUGAGUGCAAAAAUCAUAGUUCGAUAGACAGCAAUAAGCAACAAGUAACUAACAUAAUCUUGUCAACAAUUAAAAUUAACUCAAAUCUUAACAAGUAAUUUCAUGGUUUAUUUACUCACUUGGGUAGGAAUUUAGGAUCCAUAACACAAUCAGAGUAAGCAAAUAAUAAAUAGUUAAUUAGUAAUCUCAAAAAUAUGUAUAAUUAUACAAAAGCAUACAUCACAUAACACAAUACUAUAACAAGAGAAAAAACAUGAUAGUUAAAAUCAUUAACACACAAGAAAACACAAUUGACAUGACAGACAUUUGACUCACAUUGAAUCGACACUCAACCCACUCGGCCUGAUUGGAUAGACCUACUCUGAUACCACUAAUUUGAUACCCUAAACCCCAAAAUAACAUUUAUAAUAAUAUAUACUAAAUUAUUUGAAGAAAACUUGCAGCAGAUAAAGAAUGUUUGUUAAAGAGAAUAAAACUUUAAUAUCUGAUUUAGGAUAUCACGUUUCUCCAAAUACACAUGUCACAAUUCAACUUUUUUUUUUCUUUAAAAUAGUACAAUAUCAAUGAACUUGAUUCAAGUAGGAUUUCUUGAUUUAAUUCCCAAGACUUACUCGUACUAAGUUUUCAUAUAAAAAGUCAUUUAUAAUAGCAUAAGUAAAAUACACAUUACAACUCUUAAUUCCCGGUAUCACCUAUCAGAGCGGGGUUUCUCCCAAACUUGAACUUCGAGACUCAUUAACCUGUAAUAACUGCGAUUUCGCAAACGCAGGGCCAAGCCAGUCAAACACAAACAACGAAGGAGGUGAGUUUUGAAAUCAUGUUGAUAGUAUAAUAUAAAUAAGAUGAACACGCAAUUAAUCAUCAAUAAACCGUAUCAUUACACAAACAUUCUUCAAGGAAAAACAUCACAUUAUAUAGUCAAAAUCAAAGAAAAUCAAUACACUUCACUGUAACAUCAAAUCAUCGUAUAAAUUAUUAUUACACAUAAUACAUAGUAAUCGCAACAAAACAAUCACAAGAAAAUGCAAUGCUAUGCAUGAGCUUAGACUCUACUUCACAAUGUGGUACCAUUCUAACUCUGAAGUACUUGGUUAGGAGGCUUGAUACUAUGCCACCAUCUCGGUGGACGGACAAUUCAAAUUGGCCCUGUCCUCAUAGAUCCCCUCAACUCAACCCGAGACACAUAUACGCGACAAUCGAGGUAAACGUGUGUUGCGCGGUAGCUCCCGACAUUUGGAGUGCUACCUCCAAGUCACCUAGGAAUUCCCCACCCGAAUACCUCCAAGGUCUAACAAUCUUGCCUUAAGGCUCGACAGCAGACCGCCACGAUCAGACUCAUUGAGUUGUACUUCCCCGCAAUCACUAGGCUUGUCAGGCCCUACCUAUAUGAUGACAAAAUAAUCUCCACUUCACAAAUUCACAAUAUUUAUUUUCUCCCCUCGUUGGUAUAUGAUACUCCAUUAAUACAGUCAUCUCAUACACAAAUUGAAAUCACAAUAUUCUCAUCACAAUUUAUAACAUCACUAUAAUUAAUCACACAUCAUCAUCAUCAUCACAUAAACUCAUCACAAUUUAUAGAAUCACUAUCAUCAAUCAUACAACAACACAUAUAUUCAUCACAAAUUUAUCACAUCACCAUUAUUAAUCAUACAUUAUCAUCAUUACAUAUAAUUAUCACAACACAUCUAUUUUUAUUAUAACAUCAUUUAAACUCAUCUAAUCAAACAUAUGCAUAAAAUUAAUUCAACAACCAAUAUCACAAUAAUAUCACACACCACACAUUUAAAGAAAUUAAAUCAAAUAUCACAAUAAUAUCAAAUGCCACACAUUCAAACAAAUUAAAUCAAUCAACACCCUACAAAUAUUUCUAUUCUAUAUUUUAAUCUCACAAUUUCCAUAUUUUCACAUUAACUAAUUUAUCCCUCAAAGGGCUACUGCAAUACGUAGCGAGCCCAAACGGAGAAGUCGAGUAUUUUAGAGAGAAAUUGGGGUUGUUAAAAAUCUGAAAAAUUAUGUUUAAUUGAUUAGUUAAAUAACUGAAAUAACAUACUCAAAUUUGGGCGAAAAUGGAGAAAGUUUUCUGGAACAUCACCGGUGUCAAACGUUGUGUUUCCUCUUUGGCUUUACGGCUACCCUUCCGACUCCCUUCCCUUCUUUUGUUUGUUUUAUUUUAUUAACAAUUAGGGUUCAUAGAGUCAAACUCAUUGGUCUCUUUAUUUAUAUUUUACUAUUAUUAUUUUUAUUUUGUUAAAAUAAAACUAAUAAUUAUUUAAUCUCCUUUUUAAUAUUCCUCCAAACACCAUUUAGUUUUUCAAACAUUACUAAUAUUUUAUAAAUUAGAGUAAUUAAAAUAAUCAAUAUAAAAAAAAUAUUACACUAAAAUACUAUUUUUUUUAAAUAUAUCAAAUAACAAAAUAUAAUAUGUAUUAUUUAUAUCGCUCAAGUAAUAUAACAUGUAUCAAACUAACACAUCAUCGAAAGCAUUCAUAUAACGAAAAUUAGCCACGAAAUUUAUCAACAUAUAUUCUAAAAUAAUAUUAGUCAUCAAAUUAAUUAUUUAAAAUUCUAUUUAAUUAAUAAAGUAGUUUAUUAUAAAAUUUGGGGUGUUACACUCUCUCUCUCUCUUCUCUCUUCUCUCUCUCUCUCACUUUCACGAUCACAUGUAUACCUACCACUUAGACCUUCUUUUCUUUCACCACCAACCCCACUUUCUCUUCCAUCCUAACACUCGUUUCACUUUGUAUUGUUCAUCAUCAACAUCCCCUCUUUUUCCUUUUCUUCCUAAGAUCCUUCAAUGGUAGCAACCAUAUGAAGUUCUCUUCCUCUAAUCUAACCUCGUGCAUGUCCUCUCCUUCAUAUUUUGUGUUGUUUACAGUCAAAGGCAACAUUAAAAAAAAGAAAUAGACCAGAUUACGGAAUCUCAUAUUUGAACCAUUGCAGCAGAGACAUAAGUGUUAAGAGCUAGGAAAUCAGAAAACUCUCGAACCCAGCUAGACUCUAAAGGAAAUUUCUCAAUUCAAGCGUAUGAGUUAUUUUCGUAGAACUAAUUUUCUCAUUUGCAUGUGGGAUUUUGAGAUUGACUUUAAAUUCAUCCAUUAUUGGAAAUUCAUUUUAUGGGUUUGAAAUAAUGAAUCUUUAAAAUUUAGAUUGAGGAAAAACUGUGAAGUUUGGCAUGUAGAAAUAAUGAAUCUUUAAAAUUCAUUCAUUCUACAUAUGUGUGUGUGGAUGACUAUAAUGUGUUAAGGAUUGAAUGAAUGAGGCUGAAAUGUUAGUGGGUUAAUUAGUGUUUUAUCUAUGUUAAAGCAUCCUCUGAACCUUCCCUUUGGACGUUCUAUGUAUCCUCUGAAAGUUCCCUCUAGACGUUCUACGUAAACUCCAUCUAAAAUUCCCUGAAGAUGUAGACUUCCUCUAAAAUUUCUAUUGCAGACUCUAAAUUGACUUCCUCUAUUUGAACCCUUCCUCUGAUCCAGUUCUUCCUCUGAUGGGACUUCAUUUGAUCUAGUUCUUCCUCUAAUUGGACUUCCUCUAAUCCAUUUCUUCCUCUAAUUGUACUUCCUUUGGUCUAAUUUUCCUCUAAUUAGACUUCCUAUGAUCAAGUCUUUCCUCUGAUGUGACUUCCUCUGAUCAAGUCGUACCUCUAACUUGACUUCCUCUAAUCAAGUAUUUCCUCUGACGUGACUUCCUCUUAUCAAGUAUUUCUCUAGUGUGACUUCCUCUAAACAAGUAUUUCCUCUAACUUGACUUCCUCUAUUCAAAUCUUUCCUCUUACUUGAUUUCCUAUGAUUGAGCCUUCCUCUGAUCAUAACUUCCUCUAACUGUAAUCUCUCCCAUUUCAUCUUUUUUUUUCUGUAACAUCCCUCUUCAGCAUAAAUAAUUGGUUGUAAUUUUUUGUUUUACUUAUUAGUAUACAAUUAUAAUUUGUAAUAAUAAUAACAAUAAUAAUAAUAACAAUAAUAAUAAUAAUAAUAAUUAAUAAUAAUGAUAAUAAUAAUAAUAAUAAUAAUAAUAAUAAAGAAAGAAAGAAAGAAAGAAAGAAAAGAAAAGAAAAGAAAUGAAGGAAAUUACUAAACUAAGGAAGAAAAACAAAAUAAAACAAAAUAAAAGAAAAAGAAGAAGGGUGGAGGAGAUAACUACCAAAUAGAAAGAAAUAAAGAGAGGGAGAGGAAGAAAGGGUAAGAUAGAGAAGAAGAAAGAGUGAGAAAGAGAGAAGAAGAGAAGGAGAGAAAAAAAAUUGACAAAACAAGAAAUGAGAAAGGAAAAGUGCAAUUUUUGCUCAAAGUCAAGGUAGAAAGAGUUGAGAGUACUAUCAUCUUCUCCAUUCUUUUGGAAAUCAAGAGGUGGAUUUCCAUUUUUCUAUUUCUCAUUCAUGCAUGUAUGAAAUAAUGUGUUCUAUAGGUUAAAGACUUGGGGUUUAAGGGUUUGAAACGAAGAAAUGAAUUUUUAAUUUUAUUCUUGGUUGGAUUUAGAGGUUUUGAAAUAGAUGGUUAAAAUGAUUUAUGCAUGUGAAGUUCUAUGACUGAAAUUGAGAAUAGAUUAUUGUAGAAUUGUGUUUCCUUGAUGACAUGAAAUUAUGCUCUUUUGAUGGGUUUGAAAUUCAAGUCCUUGAGUUUCAUUACUGUGAUAAAUUAGUUUGAGUAAAUUGAAUUUGUGAUUCUAUUUUGAUGUGUUCAUUAUUGAUUUAUUCAUAAAUUUGUAGCAUUUUUGUUUGCAAAGAUUGUUAGGAAAUUAGUGUGAUUGAAGGAGUGUUGUUAACUUAAAAUUGGCAGGACAUAUGUGUGAUGUUUUGGUCAUACAAUUUUCUCUAUACCUUAGUUCUAAAUAAUUGUUAGUUUUCCGGAAACUAGACUCAAUUACCUUCAAAUUGAGUACAAACUUUGUGAUGUUUGAUUGAGUAUUGAUGCUUAAAAAUGGAUUACAAGUAAGACUAGAGUUGUUGUGCUGUUUUUUUUUUUUCUGUCAUUGUGUAUUAUUUUGAUAAAUUACAAGAAUUAGGGGAUUAAUUUAAAAAAAUAGAAUAAAAUAAAAUUUUAUUUAUAAAGUAGACAUCAUAAGCUUUCCAAAGAGUGCUCAUUUACUCAAUUAUGAUACUUAUAAGUUCCUGUCAAUUGACUAUGUAGUUAAACUCAAUUUUGUGUUGUUAUAACAUAAAUUUGGGGCUGUUUUGGAUAAAAUAUAUCUUAAGCAUGUUCUAUUGAAUUUCAUUUUUCAUUAUAUGAUUAGUAUGAUAUAAUUGACUUAAUAAUUUAUGAUUGUUUGAUAGUCUUUAAUAUAUUUACCAAUAGAUGAUGUUAUAUAUAUANNNNNNNNNNNNNNNNNNNNNNNNNNNNNNNNNNNNNNNNNNNNNNNNNNNNNNNNNUAUAUAUAUAUAUAUAUAUAUAUAUAUAUAUAUAUAUAUAUAUAUAUAUAUAAACAUAUUUUGAAAUAGAUUUUGAUAUAUGCAUUCAAAAAUGACAAAAGGUGGUCCCUUAAUAUUAUGCCAAAAUUUGAUACAAACCAACAAGUCUUUAUCAAUCUACCAUACUUUGAGCAUUUUCUUUAUCAAUGAAACAAAAGAAUCACUUUAAAACAUUAAUUAAAAUAAAAAAUUAAAACCACAAAUUGGGGCCAACCUUAGUCGAUACCAUCUAUCUUCAUGGUUUGUCUAUUUCCUAUCAUAGAUUAAUAUGCGAAAAAUAAUCCUAAAAAAAUUUAUUGUUUUUUAGAUAGGGAGUCUAUCCAAUUUGCUAUAUUUAUUUAUUUAUAGAUUUCCUUUAUCAAAGUAUUAAACGUGAAUAUAUUUUUCAACCAGAAUUCAAGUAUAUGUUUGCCAUGUUGUAGGAAUUAACUUCUUCCAUAAAAUGUAACACCUAAUUUAUCUUUGAUCAUGCAUGAGUUGUUCACUACUUUAUCCUUUUAUUAACAAUGUUGGUUUACAUUUAUUUAUCAUAAAAAAUGUUAAAUAAAUAAAUGAUAAAUAUCUUGUUAAAAAUAAAUAAAUGAAAAUAUAUUUCCUUUUGCCUCUUACAGCUAAAAUUAUAUGUUUUUUUAAUACUUUUUUGUUGCAUAAAAAAUUCAUUUGGACUGAAAAAUUCAUUUUUUAUAAUUACUAAACUUAAAAGGUAAACCCAACAAAUUUAACCCUAUUAAAAAUAAGUAGCCAAUUUUUAUCUAAUUUUGUUUUAUCUGUCUUUGAAAUUUAUUCAUCAAACCAAUUUUUUUCUUCUAGAAAUCAAACUAACUUAUAAACUAAAGAAUUUAACAUUAUUAGGAGAUAAAAAAGUUGAUUUAAUAGCAGUGAUAUAUGAGUUAAGGAGUGCAAAAAUAAGGAAAUCAAUAAUUUGAUUCCAAUCUUUAACAUAAUCCUAAGUACUAACAAUAUUAAUAUAAUAUUGAUUGGGUUGUUAAAAAAAACGAAUUUACUUGUGAAUAGAAACUUUUUUGCAUUUAUUACUAUGUGGAUCUAACUCUACUAAUUCAUGACAAGGUUGAUUGAGUAUAAUAACUAUGAAUAUGACUAAAAAAUUAUUAAUAACCAUGAAAAAUAGAUCAUUUUAUUUUUGGAUUUAUGACAAUAAUUAAGUUAAAAAAAUCAUUUUCAACCCUUAGCAACAAAAAAAAAAUCAUUUUGAUCCACAUGAAUAAUAAUUUUUGUCCUAUGCAAUAAUGAUAGACAGAGAUGUUUACUAUUAUGCAACAAAAGUAUAAGAUAUGCAUUCUUUUAGGUGUAAGAGGCAUAAGGAAAUAUAUUUGUCAUUUAUUUAUUUUUCUAAAAAAUAUUUGUCAUUUAUUUAAUAGUACUUUUCUAUGAUAAAUAAAUAUAAGCCAACAUUAUUACUAAACAAGAAAGUGAACAACUCAUAGAGAGUAAUAAAAAUUACAACCAUGACAUAUUGACAUAUAAGUGAUUUAUACAAAAAUAAAAAAUUCUCUAGUAUUAAUUCUUGCAUAUCUAUUUAUGGUAGAAAAUGAAAAAAAAUUCACGAGAAAGUAUGCAUUUACUUAUGGUGGUCCCAUUUUGUGGUUUUAAUUAUUAAUGUUUUUAAUCAAAAUUGUAAAAGGAUUCUUUUGUUGUAUUUAUUAAAUAGAGUGUUCAAAGUGGUAAUUUGAUAAGGAGUUGGUUGGUGUGUAUCCAAUUUUAACAUAAUUUCAAAGGUUUUUUACUUUUUAUUUUUUUUUAUUUCAAUUUUAUUAUAGAAGCAAUCCAUAUCAAAAUAUGUCCACAUUAUUCGAUGCCUAAUUUUAAUUUUGUUUAAUGCAUAUAUGCAAUCUAUAUCAAAAUAAAUGCAAUUUUGUUCAAAUAAAUAAUAAAUAAAUAAAUAAACAAAUUGGAAUUUUUGUAACUUCUUAAAAUGGAACAUUUCUAUGUAUAAAUGAUGUAUAGGAAAUGUAAAACAUCUUCUUUUUUUUUUCUAAUGUUUGAAUUUUUUUUUAAUUAACUGUUGUCAUAAGUCCAAAAUAAAAUGAUAUAUUGUUCAUGGUUAUUAAUAAUUUUUAUUCAUAUUCAUAAUAAUAAUAAUAAUAAUAAUAAUAAUAAUAAUAAUAAUAAUAAUAAUAUAUAAUUAGCCAAUUUUUAUCAAUUUUUAUUUUCUCUUUCUAUUUGAAACUCACAUAUAUAGUAAAAAAAAAAGUUAGAGAGUUACCAUAAUCUACCCCUUGAAUUUCCUAGUCACCAAUAUUAAUGGAUCAUUCAUCUAUAUAAACCUCUCUUCAUCUAUAUAAACCUCACAUUUCUCCAAUAUUAUUUGCUACAUCACUUUUCUUCUUAAUUUUUUUCUUCCUCAAUUUCUUCCUCUUCCUAUCCAUCCUUGUAUUCAUAGCAAUCAAUGUACCACAUAUACCUUAUCAAAUCACCACUUCCAUCUACACUAAAAACCUCUAAUUCAUUCCAUUUUCCUUUCCUUCCACACAUUCCUAUAUAAACCUCACAUUCCUUUGAGCUUGCAUUCAUACUUGAGUUGAGUAAUCUCUUGAUCUAUAUAUUGAAAAAUGCAUUGGUAUAAUCGAGCUAAAAAAAACAUAUGGUAAUUCAUUGUUAUUAAACAAGUGUGCUAUAUUAAUAGUUAUUAAUAAUACAUAUAUUUAUAUUAAAUUUUAAUUGUUAAUAUACAUGCAGAACUAAUAUAAUAUAUUAUACUUUACAUAAGAUUCAAAUUUCAAUUUGUGUUCUUUUUACAUUUUUACCUUAGAUAUUUUAUAUUAUGGUUAAUUAAUUAAAAUAAAUAUUUAGAACACAAUACUCUUAAAUUAGUUUCACACACUCACAGAUUAAAUAUAUAUAAAUAUUGAUAAAGUUAUGUUUUUUCUUGUACUUUAAAGUUUUCAGAAUUUUUUAAUUGAUGUUCUACAUUUUUUAAAUGAUUUAUUAUGUUAAUUUAACUAUACAAAACUAUACAUUUAAAAUAUGACUUGUUAAUUCACUUAAUCUUUGUUUUCCAUGAGUUAUAUUUGUCAAGAUAUAGUAUUUUUUAGGCAAUAAUCAAUAAUUUUAUCAAUAGUUUUUUUUAGGAAAUAAUCAAUAAAUUUCAGCGAUUACACAUUGGGGAGCAUGAAAAUUGAAGGCCAUUAAUCAACAUUCAUAUUAUUAUUAUUAUUAUUAUUUUUUUUCCCUUUUAAGUUCUAUUAGUCAUUUUUUACUUGUUGUUAUAAUACUAAUUACUCAUUUUUUUCUUCAGGUAUUUGAUCAUCCUUAUAAUUAACUUGCUGCACUAAGAACAUUCUUAGCCUCUUUCGAUAUUACUUGGUACCAAUGUUAUUUACAUACAUCCUAUUUUUAUAUCAUUCUUUCACACAUUCCUUUUUUACAAUAAUAAAAAAUAAAAAUAAAAAUAAUGUUUUAUUAAAAUUUACUAAAAAUAAAAAGGUUUACUAUUGGACCAUAACAAUAUUAAAUUAUCCAUAUUUAUUGAAAAGUGUGUCUCUAAUAUUGUAAAACACCUCUGUACACUUUUGUCUUCCUGAAUGGAACAUUUCUUAUCAACUUAGGACUUGAUAUAUGGUUUAAUUAAGUUAUUGACUAUAAUAUAUUGACUUGGCUUCAUGUAUAAUAUUAUUAUUUUUUGAAAGGAUAUAAGCCGUGCUUAUUAUUAUGUCUUGGUCAUUUAUUAUUGAUUAAUAAAUUAUAAUUACUUUAAUAAUAUUUAAUUUUGUGUUGUAUUUUAACAGCACUCUUUUAGUCUUUCCAGGAGCUAUUACUUUUAUUUUCAGGUUUUCUCUCUUUGUCUCUCUUUCAUUUAUUUUUUACAACUACUUUGUAAAAUAAAUUUUAAAAAUUGUUAUGUACACUUGUUUUAUUAUUUCAAACCUCUAUUUUUUGCUAUAAAUCUAAAAUACAGCAUUUAUUUUAUAGUUUCUUGCUAGCCCAUGUUGUUUACACAUUACGAUUAAUUAUUUCUUGUACUAAUUAAUUGUAAGGAUGUGUUAGAAGGUAAAAUUUUAUAAUUUUUUAUAGAUAGUAUUAGUGGUGUGACUUAAAUAAGUACAAAAAAAUGACAACACAUUUUAGUCUUUUUUUUCUCUCUUUCUCUGUUCGCGUCAUUUUUAAUUCUACUAUGACAAUAUAUUUUGGUCUUUUUUCUCUCUCUAAAAAAUUUAUUUUAUGUAUUUAAAUUUGAAAAUGUGAUUUUUUUUUUCAUUUAUUAUUUACUAUUUAUUUGUGUCAUAUCUUAUAUCUUAUGUUUAUUUGUGUUUCUCACUAUUAGAACUGCAAAAUGAAAUAUAUCUUAAUGAUUUUGGAAUACUUUACUAUGUUAAUUAAAGUGAUCAAUUAGAAAAAUAAUUAUUCUUAUAUUGAAAAUUUAAAGUGAUAUUUAUAUUUAAAUAAUUUUCUUUUAACUAAAUUCAUACAUAUUGUGAAACAGAAGAAGUAUAUAAUAAAAUUACCCCAUUAGUAAAUCAUCUCUAAAAAAAAACGUUAGUUGAAAUAUAUGAUUAAGAGCAUGAUGGAAAUACUUUAAUUAGUAUAGAGUGAUGAAUACAUUCAAUUAACAGUAAACUCCCAACAUACACAUUUCGUUCUUCGGUCAAUUGUUAGUGUUUGCCACUAUAAUUCAUUGUGAACAAACUAUAAUAUCAUAACAAUAAUAUGUGGGAAAAAAAACUACCAUCUCUCAAUGGUGGUUUAGAAUGGUGAGAUUGAGAACAACAAUAAUGGUUGAAAAAGUUAAAGUUGGAUCUAAGAAUGGAGAAAAUGGAACCACGAGAGUUUUUAAUAAGAAAUAAAAAAAUUGUCUAUUUGUUUUAUAUUUGUUUAUAUCUUUACCAGUUAUGCGAGUUUCAAAAUAUAUCAUCUUUUUAUUGUACAGUUCAAAUUCAUUAAUAAAUUUAUCAAUCAUUUUAAAGUAAGACUUUGUUAAAAUCUUGCAGGAUCAGAACCCUGAACACAUCACGUUUUGCUAUCUCGUCACGACACUUUUUUCAACAGAUUUUUGUUUCAUAUGUAUCCAUCUUACUUAUAGUGGUAAGCACUAGUGGCUAUAAAAAAGGUGUUUGCAUCUCGUCGCCUUGUUGAAGUGGAUCAUCAAGGUUCCUACAUGGUUUUCUACUGAUGACCGUAUCUUACUGUCUGAGCUCCAAAAAGGUCUAGCUCGACCCAACACCAUUGUGGCCAAGGAUGGUAGUGGCCAAUAUAAAACAAUUACAAUCGUUAUUAACCUAUACCCUGAGAAUCAUCAAGGAAGAUAUGUUAUAUAUGUUAAAAUGGGUGUCUACCGUGAGUACAUUACUAUCGACUCUAAAAAUAAAAUUUUAUUAUACGGUGAUGGUCCUACAAAUACAAUUAUCACUAGAAACAAGAACGUUCAUAUUGGACUCAAAUUACCCGAAACAGUCACAUUUUGUAAGUUAAUCAUUAACUCUCACUAUUUUAUUUAUCUAUCUUUUUUAAUGUUGAUAGAGAAUAUAAAGUUAUCUUUAUAUUUAUGUUAGUCGAGAAGAGGGAGAGAGAAAAUAUUGAACAACGAUUCUCUUAUGUUAAUCUAGUAUGUUUAUUAGAUCUUAAUUUGUUAGUUUAUUACAAAUUGUGUUCAAUAGUUAUGUUAAUUAAGAAGAAAGAAAAAAAUAUAAGUUAAUAGAGAAUUUAUUUAAAAAUUGCUUGUAAACAUUUAAUGCAAAAUUUGGGUAAUUUUUAUUUAUGUAGGUGAACGAAAAUUAAAUAUGAUGUGUAUUUUUCUAAUUAACCUUAUGUGAAUUAAUUUUUGAAUAUUUAAAUGUGCUUGCAGCCACCUUUGGUGAAGACUUCAUUGCCAUAUCAAUUGCAUUUGAGAAUAAAGCUGGUCCAAAAGCUCAACAAGCAAUAGCACUUUGUGUUGAUGGUGAUCACUCAGAAUUUUUCCGGUGUGCAUUUCUUGGUUAUCAAGACACAUUGUACACACGCAAGGGUCAUCAAUUCUAUCGAAACUGUGAGAUUUAUGGAACCAUUGAUUUUAUCUUUGGUGAGUCGAGUACUACCUUGAUCCAGAACUCUAAGAUCUUGGUAAGGAAGCCCAUUCAAGGACAACAAAACAUUGUGGUGGCAGAUGGCUCAUCCUACAAGGACGCGCACACUGGAAUAGUUCUCCAAAACUGCUCCAUCGUGCCUGACAUCCUUAUCGAUUUACAUUGAAGACUUACUUGGCAAGGCCAUGGAAAGCUUUUUCAAGGGAGGUCUUCAUUAACAAUUAUUUUGAUGAUUUUAUUCAACGGGAUGGAUAUAUGAUAUGAAAAGUUAAUGAAACAAACACUGAAAACUCGUACUUUGCUGAGUUUGGCAACAUUGGACCCGGUGUCAAUGCUACAUCAAUUGUUAAAUGGGCAAAAGGUGUCAUUACCAAAGAUGAAGCUGUUAGAUUCACUGCUGAAGAAAACUCUUACUUUGCUGAGUAUGGCAAUAGUGGACCUGGUGCCGAUACUACAUCAAGGGUAAAAUGGGCAAAAGGUCUCAUUACUCAAGAUGAGGCUGCUAGAUUUAUUGCUGAACCAUGGCUUAAUGCUAGCACUUGGUUGCCUUUCACUGGUGUGCCAUACAAUAAAGGAUUAUAGGCUUAUGAUAUUUUCUUUGUUUCAUUUCAACUACAAUACUUUGUAUUUUGAUUAUAACCAUAAUUGUUAUAAAUAAUAUUAUCUAUCAAUCGAAUCCUUAAUUAUCAAAGAAAAAAUAAUCUACAAUUAAUAUUAUUUCUAUAUAGACUAGAACUUGAAUCCAUGUUAUGCACAGAAAUUAUGUAUUAAAUUAAUACAAAGUAAAGUUACAUAUAUAGCAUAAGAAUGCUCCCAAGUUUCUAUUAAAAAUAUUAAACUUUAAUAUAUACUAGACAUGCACAUGUAUGUGCAAAAAAUAAACUGCCAUACAAAUCUAUAAAAAGUUAAAGUAGCAAUAUAAGUUAUCAAGUGUAAUACAACAAAGCAUAAUAAUCAUAUAAAAUAAACAUAAAAUCAUAUAAUAAACUAUUCGAUAUUUUGAAACACUUCUUUAUAAAAAAUGCAUUUGAUGUAAUAUUUGAAUCUUGGUCACUUAUGUGAUGAUAAACUGACUUUGUUGCAUAAUUCAUCAGUUUUACUACAACAUUUGUUAUCUCUAGCAACACUUUUUUAAGCAACAUGUAUAACAUGUUGUCUAAAAGUGGGUAAGACGACAUUUUAUGUCUGUUGUCAUCACUGUUUUUGCAAUAUUGUAUAAAUGUUCCCUAAAAUAUUUAUGAGAACAAUUUUGAAAUGUCUCUAUAGCAAUUCUUUGGUAAUAUAUAAUAACCAUUCCCUUAGACAUUUCUAGGAACAUUUUUCAAUUGCUACCUUAUUUCGAACAAAAGGCUAAAUUGCUUAAAAAAUUUAACAUUGAUGACGUUUUUUACAGAAUAAAUUCUUUCAAAUACAUUUUUAGAUAUUAUUUUUUUUUUAAAAAGAAAAUUUAUUAAUAGUGUGCCUAAAAGUGCGAAAAAAAUGUUGUCAAAUGUAAUAGGCAACACUCGCAUAUGAGACGCGCAAAAAAUGUUGCCUAUUCUCUUUGGCAAUAUUUUCCUGUGUUUAAUUGACAACAUUUUUCAAAUGUUGUUAAAAAGCAAAAAUAUUGUAGUGUUUGAUCUAUAUUCCUCAAUAACAUGACGUGGUACCCCUACUUUUAACCUAAAUACUCGUUGUUUAUAUAUAUAUAUAUAUGAUUGUUGGUUGAUUAGUUGUUGGUUGAAUUCUAUGUCUAAACCGAUAAAUUUUAUUUGAGUUUGAUUGAGCUCUCAACUUGUGAUUUUUAAGUUAAAUUCAAAUCAAAAUAAUUUGAUAAUGAGCAGUUGAUUUGGGUUGAGUUUGCGUGUUAUAAAAAUAAAUAUAUUGUUUCUCUUUUAAAAAAAAAUAAUUAAAUUUAAAUAUUUGAACACAUCAAAAUAAUAAAACUAUAUCACAACAUAAAAUAUAUCAACAAUCACAAUAAAAUAUUUAAAUCAAUUAAAUUAGCAAAAAAAAUUCAAAUAUAAUUUAACAAUUAAAUAUCAACUAUAUAUUUAUAAUAAUAAAUAAAUAAAUAAAAUUAUCUAGAUUUGAUUUUGAAAUUUAAAAUGUUAUAUCGCUACUCAAUUUAAACAUCAUUUAAUUUAAAUAGAGUAAUUUAUAUUAAUUCAAGCUUAAAUGAAUUGAGUUAUUUUCAAUAAUCAAGAUCACAUUCAUGAAAACCAAUAUGUAUACGUUUCCUUGACAUGAACUUUUGGUGUGGAGACUCCGAUUAACUGCAGUAAUUUUAUAUACGUAGUUACAAGCAAUUUUUAAUUUUUACCGAUGAUUUUAUUAUUAUACAUUCGAUAAAUUAAUCUAAUAUAGGUGAGUUUAGUUUUUAAAUUAGUUUUUAUUAGUGAAGUUAAUCUGUAAAAUUAUUUACAUAAGAACAGUUUGAUAUUGUAUUAAAUUUUGAUAAAUUUAAAACUACAGAGAUCACACUUACUUUUAUAUAAAUAAAUUUUAGAGUUUUUAUCAAAAUCUAUGGAUAUUAUUGUUUGGUUCUGUCAUUAGUAAUAUUUUAGUAUUGAAAUUUCAAGAGAUAUAAUUCAAAUCUCAUAUCAUACAAUUGUAAUUUAAUAUAUUUUAGUCAAUUUUUUUUCUUCUUAAUCUUAUGAUUUUCAAGAGAAAUAGACUUAAAAGUUUAAAGUUUUGACCGAUAAAUGAGUAAAAUUGCACAAAAAUUAUUUCAUUUAGAUCAAUUGAAUUUAAUACUUAUAAGUGAUUUAUCGUUAAGUGAAAACUCAUUAACUAUUUGGUUGAAUAAAUUUUAUUAUUUCUUAAGUUUAUUACUCUCUUCAUCCAUAAAUAUAAGUGUCUAUUGUUUUUUUUUUGCACUUAUAUUAAGAAAAAUUAGCUGUAUAUUAUAAUGUGUCUAUUUUGCUUAGAAAAAUGGCUAAAUUAUACUUUGUAUAUAGAUGUAUUAAAUAUUGACGUUUUUAUAUUUUAAGACAAAUUAGUACUAUUAAAAAAAUACAUAUUGGAAUUUGAAAGAUAACUUAUAUUUAGGGACGAAUUGUGAUAGGGGGAGGUCACGACCACCCAAAAUUUUCUUUUUUAGUAAAAAUAGGUAUACCUACAAUAAUAUUUAUCUAUAAUAUAUGGUAUAUAAUCAAUGUCUCGUUAAUAAUUUUAAAUUAUGGAGUAGCUUAGUGAUAAUGAAGAUUUUCCUAAACCUGAUGUCGUUGGUUCAAGUCUCCAUGAUAAUGUUUUUUAUUAUUUUUAUUGUAAAUAUAGUUGAUUGAUUGAUAAAAUUUUAAAUACUUAUAUUCAUACCAAAUACUUUUAGUACAUCUCACAAUUAAAAUUAUCACUACACCAAAAUAAAAUUUAUAUGAUUAAUUGAAAAUAUUUUAUUUUUAUGUUAGCCCCCAAUAAAACUUGUCAAAAUCCGCCACUAGAGACAAUUUUUUAUGAAUGAAUGCUUAUAAUUAAAGACGAAGAUAGUUUUUUAAAAAAAAAAUAACUCUAUUAGAUUGCUUAAGCUAGGGUUCGUGUAUAUUUUAAGAGUAUUUGUGGUUUUCCAUUCACAACUUUAAAUGUAAUUUUGUAAUUAAAAAGUAGAUUAACAUUAUGUUUGGGUUCUUUUGAAAACUAAUUCUACAAACUUAAUUUUGCUCUAAAUUCACGCUUAGUCAAAAGUAACAUAAUUGAUGCAAAAAAAAUUCCUACUCAUUUUGCCACUAAUCGCAAAGUACACUAACAGCAAAAUUCACAUUAUAUUAUAAUAAAAUAUACACCAAAUUCAAUAAAUACAUAUUUAAAAGUAUGUUAGGUUAUAUAAUCUAAACAAAUUUUAUUUUAAAAAAUGAAAUUUGUAAAAAAAGAUACCCAAACAUAAAUUAUAUUAAAAAAAAUUAUUUUUAACUACAAAUACAUUAAUAAAAUAAAUCUAUUUAAAAUUUCAUUUAUAAACGUUAAUAUAAACAAAUACUAAGUCAAAACCACUUUGUUAGGAAGGAACAUACAUGUGCACCGUUAAAAAGAAUAUACUAAUACAAUUUUUAAGAGGAAACAUUUAUAUUAUUAUGUAAACUUUCACAUUUUGCCUUUCUAUUACCACUACUACUACACAAUGGUUGGUUUGAAAAAUUGUAUUUCUUAUUUCUACAUAGUGAAAAGAAAUCACUGCAAUAAUUAAUCUUCUGGCCAAUGGAAACAACAAUCAAUCUGGGUGGUGUAAUUCUCCCACACUAGAGUCCCUACUUCAAACUCAAACAAUUUAAUAAAAUGUUUUUUUUUUUUGUCGUCAUUUAGGGGUUCAAAUAUUGUCUCAUAUCCAAUUUUACAUAUCAUACACUCAAUUCCUCGCAAAGAGUGGAUCGUAUACAAUAGAGACACUUACCUUACUUCUUCAAGUAUUCUUUAUUUUCUUCAUCCCAAAAUAAUUUAUUGACUUGCAAAAAAAAAAAUGUCAUAAAUGGAAGACUUUUUAUUCAAUUAUUAGAAAGACUUUUUUGUCUCACAAUGAAUGUUGUUUAAGGUUUUUGCACGCAUAUUAAGAAAUAUAAUAAUUAAAAAAAAAGAUUACUUAUAUUACUAAAUUAAUCAUUUUAGCUAUUGCUGAGUUUUUCACUAUUAUCAAUGUAAAGUACAAUAAUAUUCUGUAAAUUGUGCACAUAGUAAUUAUUUGAACAGUAAUAUACACUAGUAGAAAAAUGGCUUUUUAAUUGAGCAGAUUUAAGUCGUUUACGUGGCACCAGACUUAAAAAAUGAGGCGGAAGUAUAUUUAAGUCGGUUAUCCGUAUAAACGAGUUAAUAAAAUGAGGCGGUGGCAAUUUUGUAAAUAUGUAAAACACCGUCAACACGGUUAAAUUGUCAACCGACUUAACACAUCCCAUCAUACUUCGUGGCUAAAUCAGUUAAAUUGGCAACCGACCUAACAAAAUGAUGCGGUGGCAAUUUUGUAAAUAUUUAAAACUUGUUUAACGCGGUUAUAUUAAUAACCGACUUAAAAAUAACAUACGGUGCGUUUCUGUAAGGCAUAUUUAUUGCAACUUUUUAGCUUCCACCUUUGUUAACUAUUCUAUUAUAAAUCUUUCGUAUUCUCUAACAAUAUUUUCAUCACACUCAUCGCCCAACUCAGUUUUCAUCGUCGUCAAUCAGUUUCAUCGCCACCUUUUUCAGCCAAAUAGCUUCACGCCACCUUUUUUCACAAUCGCCAAACAGCUUCAUCGCCACCAUUUUAGGUAUGGUUGUUCAGGUUAUUGAAUAAUAAAUUUACAUGAGUAAUUUUUUGUUCAGGUUAUUGAAUAAUAAAUUUACAUGAGUAAUUUUUUACAAUUUUCUACUCUUCUAUUGUUUAAUAUAAUGAGGCGUUAAUAAAAUGAUUAAUAUAUGUGUUCAUAAUUUCAUUUAGAUAAUAUCAUAUUAUUUGAAGGAAAAAAANNNNNNNNNNNNNNNNNNNNNNNNNNNNNNNNNNNNNNNNNNNNNNNNNNNNNNNNNNNNNNNNNNNNNNNNNNNNNNNNNNNNNNNNNNNNNNNNNNNNNNNNNNNNNNNNNNNNNNNNNNNNNNNNNNNNNNNNNNNNNNNNNNNNNNNNNNNNNNNNNNNNNNNNNNNNNNNNNNNNNNNNNNNNNNNNNNNNNNNNNNNNNNNNNNNNNNNNNNNNNNNNNNNNNNNNNNNNNNNNNNNNNNNNNNNNNNNNNNNNNNNNNNNNNNNNNNNNNNNNNNNNNNNNNNNNNNNNNNNNNNNNNNNNNNNNNNNNNNNNNNNNNNNNNNNNNNNNNNNNNNNNNNNNNNNNNNNNNNNNNNNNNNNNNNNNNNNNNNNNNNNNNNNNNNNNNNNNNNNNNNNNNNNNNNNNNNNNNNNNNNNNNNNNNNAAAAAAAAAAAUUAUUAUUUUAACUAUAUAUCUAUUAAGUCGGUUGAUCAAAAUAUCCAACUUAAAAAGAUGAUGUGUUAUAUUGAAUUUAUGAUGUUUAAGUCGGUUAAUCUGAAUCGACUUAAUAUGAUGACGCUCUGUUAAGUCGGUUCAUGAAACGAGUUAAAAAACAACAUGUUUUUUAAGUCGUUUGCUGUUAACUCGGGCACAGAACCGACUUAAAAUGUACAUUUUAACCGACUUAAAAAGACAAAAUUCUACUAGUGAUAAGAAAAAAAUUAUUAAAGUUGUAUUAAAAAUUGAAAAUGACAUUCAUUUAGAGACAAUUUAUUGUGCUUAAAUGACACUUAUUAUGAGACGAUAGAAUAUUUUAUAUUGUGUAGUUACUUUUUUAGUCUAAACCACUCAUUAUUUUUAUCAUUGUUUUUUAUGAAUUUUCCAUAUUAAAUUUGAGGUAUUUUAGUUAUAACUUUUUAAUCCUUUAUUGUUAUUAUUUUUGGUAUUGUUUUUUCAUUGGUAAUUUUUCUAUUCAGCUUGUACAAGAAAUACUUAGUCUAGCGAGCUCCAAAUAUUUUGUUACAUUAUAGUCCUAACAACUAGCAUUGGAGUUUCUGGUCUCUUGUGAUAUAUUUAAAAGAUUAAUUUGUGCAGUUUAGUAUAAAUCGGUUCAGUUUUGAAAAAAACAUUUAAAAUUCGAUUUGAUUUAUGCGUUUUUUCCAAAAUAACAUCCAAUGAUAUUCGAAUUUGUACGAUUUUCAAUUUUUUGAACCAAUUUGAAAUUUUAUUCUUUGAUCAGUUUAAAUAUCAACAUCAUUACCUUUAAAUAUGUUGAAGUAUCUUUUAUAAUAUCAAUAAUUUCAUAUGCUUAUAUUUUAUUUUGGAUGAAAUAAAUAAAUAUCUUUAAAAAUUUAAUGCAUAUUGACAUAUUCAAAAGUAUUCAAAUAAUAGUAUUAAAUAAUCCAACUCACUAACAAUUAGAUUCAACACAAUAUUUUGGAUUGGAACAAUUUAACAAGCAAGCAAAAUCCAAGUUUAAAUUUGUUUUUUAUUUUUGUAAAUAUUUGUAAGAUUUUUGUUUGGAUUUAAUUAUUGUAAAAUUAGAUCGACUUUGAUCCCUAACAUCAAAUCAACAAUAUAAAAAAAGAGCGUUGAAACAUGUGACCCUAUAAAUGUACAUCGUCUUUUAUAAUAUAUUAAAAAUAAAAUGAUUGAUAUUAUUAAUUAAUAAAUAUAUUAAUUAUCAUUUAAUAAUUAGUGUUAUUUUAUAAAAAAAUAUGAAUAGAAAUUAAAAGUGGAGUUUAAGAGUUUUUAGAAAACCCGUAUCUUUCGUGCUACGACGGUUUGCCAGCUCUUUUUUUAUAACAUUUGAUUUGAUGUUAGAAACAAAAUCAAUCGUCUCUGAUUUUAUAGAGAAUAAAUCUAAAUAAAAAAUUUAUAAAUAUUAAAAUAAAAAAACACUAUAAGAAAUUUGAUUUUUAGCAAAAAUAUGUAGAUAAAAACAAAACAAAAAACUGGAUCAUAUCCCUCAAAAUUUCAAUGAAAGGAUCUAUCCCUCAAAAAACUGGGCCAUAUCACUAUUUUGAAUUUUUUUUUUUUGUAAAAGAAUAAUAUUUUUAGUUUGUAAAAAAAGGAUUUAUAAAAUCAAAAUAGAAACUAGAAAUAAAUAAAAAAAAAUUUAGGGAUAAGUUUAAAAGUUUAUAAUUUUGUAGAAAUUAAAAUUAUAUUUCACCCACAAAAAAUUUACACUCAUUUUAUUAUAUUAUAGAAAAUAAAAAUUAAGAGCUUCACUAAUUGAAGCUAUGUGCUAUUGGACUACUUGCAUAUUCCAAUACCGGAUUAUUACUCAACGAAACCCAUGCCGACGCACAGGUGGCAUAUCCUUGAUAUUGUAUUAUACAUGCAUUGUUUAGACAUAAAAUAAUAAAUCUCAUUUUAUUUAUCAGUAACACGUAUUUGUUCCAUAAUUUUUAUUUUUCAAUAACAAAGAUUAAUUUGUCUCAUAUUUUUUAAUGUAUCAAACACAAAUAUUUAUCCUAUAAUUUUUUAUACAUCAUUAAUAAAUAUUUGUCUCAUAUUUUAUUUUUUAAUAUUCAUCAGUGACAUAGAUUUAUCUAGAGUGUUGAAAUUAAAGAGGGCAAAUUCAAUUUUUUUAAUAUUAGUAUUUUUGUUAGUGUUCUCAUUUUUUAUAUUAAUAGUUGAAAGAUGAAAAAGAAUAUUUAAUAAGAAAAAAAAAUGAUUGAGUGGUUUAGACUUGUAUAUAUAAUAAUGAUUAGAAAGUAGUAUAAAAAAUUGUGCAAAAUAUUUGAAUGAAACAUUGUCAUUAUUUAUAAGAUCAUUAUUUCUUUCUUACUAAGGUAAUUAUAUUUCUUUUGUAAAAAAACGUAAUUAUAUAUAUUUUUUAUAUUAAUGUUGUGCAAAAAAAAAUUAAAUGAAAGAAAUCGUAAUUUUUAUCUCCUAAAUUUUUUUUAAGUUAAUUUCUAUUACAUAAUUUUUUUUUACUAAAGUAAUUUUUAUUUUGUCAAAAUAAAAUAUGGUUAUAUUAUUUUUAGUUAUUUCUUUAUUUAUUUUUUAAAUUUACUUAUUUACCUUUAAAUAAUGACGUGACAACGAAUUAAAUAAAAAUAAAUUUGUAUUUUUUGUAGUUAUUUUUUUAUUCAUAUACAUAUUAGAUAAAUUUUAAUCUUCUCUUUUCAAAAAAUAUUAUUUUAAUAUUUUAUUGUACAAUAGUUAAUAUUUUAAUAUAUUAAUUAUAAUAAAUUUAAUUUUUUUAAAUUUAUUAUUUUAUAUAUAUAAACGAGUAUGAAUAUAUAUUGUUAAUUUGAUAGUUGGCAUGAUGGAAUUAGAGAAAAAAGUGAUAAAAAAAUGUGGUGAGUUUAAUUUUCACCUAUAAUAAAUUACUAAUAUUGAGUUACAAAAUUUAUAUAUAUAUAUAUAUAUAUAUAUGAUCGAUUAGUGUAGGAAUAGAGAAACUAAAGUAGCAACAAAAAUAGAGAUUGAAACUUAAAUUUGAAAUCUAAAAAAAACAUGAGUGUAAAUUUGCUCAUUUUGAAAUUAGGGAUGGGAAUAUGUUAGGCCGUUCGACAGGGACUUAUGGUCUAGCCUACUUAUGAUCUGGCCUGGUCUGACCUAUUUAAUAAAAAGGCUAAGCUCAGACUAUUUUUAAAGCUUAUUUAUUUAAAUAUGUCAGGCUCAGACUUAUAAAAAAGCCUAUUAGGUCGACCUAUAUAUAUUUAAUUAUUUAUUAAUAUUAUUUUUUAUUGUUAUAUUAAUAAUAUUAUUUCCUAUUUUAAAUUCUAUCAAUUAAACAAUCACUCAGUAGUCAUUCUAUAUUCGGUAGUCAUUCCAUAUUUGGUAGUCGUUCCAUAUUCGGUAGCUAUUCAAUUAGUCGAUAACUCAGUAGUCUUUCCAUAUUUGUUUGAAAGAUAAUAAUAAGUGCAUUUGUUUCAAAAGAAAAAAAAAAUUAUUCUUUGAAACCAAUAAUUAUAUUUUAGGGUUUCAAGAAUGUUUGUUUCAAAUUUUAUUUAAAAAUUAUUUUGUUAGAAAAAUUAUUAUUUUUAUUUAAUAUAUAUAAAUAUGUACAUUGAUAUUAGUAUCUGGAGAGUAGAGAAUUUAAAUGUUUUAAUAUGAAUAAGACUUUUAAAUAAGCUUCUAAAACAGACCAGACUUUUAAAAAAGUUAAGUCAGGCAACAAAAAAAAAAGCUUAUGAUAGACCAUAUGCCAGACUCAGACAUUUCAAAGUCUGAUCUGACCUACUUAUUUCCACUUCUAAUUAUCAUGUAGAGUAAAUGCAAAUUAAAAAACCUACAUUUAAAUAAAAUAAAAAAACUUAAGCAACACAUGUGUAAAAAUGACAUAUAAACAUAAUGUCGUAUGAAUUUGCAAAUUAAAGAUGUGUUCAAAUGCCAAAACUUUGAAUAAUAUAUAAUAAUUUAAAAUUAACUUUUUUUAAAAAAUUUCAUAAAUAUUUUUAAUUCUAAAAAGUUAUUUUUAUAAAUAAUAAUUAUAACUUUAUAACUCAUAUAAAAGACAUUUUGAGUUAUCUAUGUUCACCAAACUACCGUGAAAUUAGUCAAAUAACAAAUACUUUUUUAAAUUUAAUUUUUCAUCUUUUCAAAUCUUGUUAAAUAUCAUACUUUUAUAUAAUUUUUUAUUUCUCCUUCCUCAUCAUAUUAACCAAUAAUAAUUUAAUUACCAUUUUCACAGACUUCUAUCUUUGUUUUGUUUUUAUAAAAUUUAUUAUUUUUAUUAAAAAAAUGUCAUAUAUUAAUUUAAAUAUUAUUUUAAUGUAAAAUAAUCCAAUAAACCAAAGUUGUAGUGGAAUAAUGUUCAUUUUCACCUAUUGAACACGAGAAGAUUUAUUGGACUAAACCAAACAACAUAGAAUCAUAAAUAAGAAACAAAUGACUUUUGAAAUGUUCUAUACUCCAAGUUUAAACAACCACAACUUCAAAGGAAAAAACAUUUACAUAAACAAAGAACUAGGAUUCCACUAAAACCUUCUCUUCAAUUAGAUGACUCAUGCAACCUUCGUUCACCUGCAGUUUGAUGAACCUCUCCACUUCCUACAAAACAAAACAACCCAAAAUCAUAAAUUUUAACUCACUUUUUUAACAAAAAGAUAAUAAUAAUCCAUAACUCAAACAAAGAAACAUCUUGGCUAGACAUUAGAAACAAAAAAAUAAAAUCAUAAAUCAAUAAACACAACAUGGUUCUACUCGGAUCAGUAAAAUCAAAAUCAAUCGAUCUAGAUGCGUGAAGACAAGACUUAACAUAAUUUUAAAUUGUAUUUCCAUGGUCAAAUCAUAAUCAAUAUGAGACCUAUAAAAUAUUGACACAAACAGAUACAUCAAACACAACCUCGAAGUAAUAAUUUGUACCAUGUAAAUGUAACUAUUACAUUUAUUCACAUUACAAAUGUAAUCUUAUGUAUCUCCACUGUCCCACCGUCCGAUCAAAAUCAGACCAUUCAAAUCACAUAAUUCGAUCAGAUUUUUUCAAAACUAUGAAAUGAAAUAAAAAGAAAAACUAACCUUGAUUGGUUUGAUUCUCACCUGGUUUACCAAACCAAGAUCCAACAACAUCCUUAACCAUAUCAACCAUAGCCUUAUUACUCUCUUCAUGAUCUUUCUCUUUCUCAUCAUCCCAACUCCCUAACCUCUUCUUCACUUCUUCAGACUCAAUCACCUUCCCCUUUGGUCUCACCACAUCACUACCCUCUCUUUCAUCAUCCUCAUACAAACUCUCAGAAAUCACAUCAGAAAGAGCCUUCUCUUCCACUCCAGGUCUCAACUUUUCAGCUAAAUAGUCUUUCAUUGACACCCCUUUAUCCUGUUCUACACCCCCACUUACCCUUUCACCAACAUUUCCACUAACUGGAGUUAACUUGUCUGUCAAGGAAACUGCAAUUCUCUUUCCAUAUUCUGCAGGUGACACUGCAGAAGAAUAAUUUCUAUCACUCUUCUUCUUCUCUUCAUGGCUUGUUACCUUUGAAUCUCUCUCACUUUGAGAAGUUUCAUCUCUCUCACUUUGAGAAGUUUCAUCUUUUCCGCCCACACCGAGCUUUGAAGCUACUGUGUUUUUAGCUUGUGCAGCUUUAUCCGCUACUGCAGAUGUUGCAGAUGAGAUUUUCUCUGAAUAACUACUCUGGUUUUGAUUUGUUUUGUUUCCGCCUUGUUCGCCAUAUCCAAGCUUCGAUGCGACUGCAUUUUUAGCUGUUGCGGCUUUAUCGGCUAUUGCAGAGGUUGCAGAUGAGAUUUUUUCUGUGUAACUACUUUGGUUCGACGGUGUUUCUCCGGCUGUUCGUUGAUAUGUUUCGUUUUCGCCUUG
This 86192-nucleotide long non-coding RNA is filed under the name Cicer arietinum (chickpea). RNAcentral's name for it is "long non-coding RNA (CARI_LNC003327)". The record is from RNAcentral. Lineage: Eukaryota; Viridiplantae; Streptophyta; Magnoliopsida; Fabales; Fabaceae.